RNAcentral lists this long non-coding RNA (52503 nucleotides) under Vitis vinifera (wine grape). RNAcentral's name for it is "long non-coding RNA (VVIN_LNC002580)". The record is from RNAcentral. Lineage: Eukaryota; Viridiplantae; Streptophyta; Magnoliopsida; Vitales; Vitaceae.
CCUACAUCUUCAAAGUUUCCUUCCAUUCUUCUUAUUCUUCUCAUAUUUCUCAUCUCCUUCUUCUCUGAUGCAACUUCCAACACCCAGAACCUUUUGCGAAGAGGCUCCUCUCUCUCUGUCGAAGAUGAUUCCGACUACAUCACCUCCCCAGACAAAUCAUUCACUUGUGGUUUCUAUGGGAUGGGGAAAAAUGCUUACUGGUUUUCGAUAUGGCUCACAAAUUCAAAGGAAAGAACUGUUGUUUGGAUGGCCAAUCGAAACAGACCUGUCAAUGGCCGGGGCUCCAGAAUUUCGAUGCAGCGAGAUGGCACCAUGAUUCUAAGGGAUGCUGAUGGCUCAACUGUUUGGGAGACGAACACUACCUCCAAAGAUGUUGAUCGAGCAGAGCUUUUGGACACUGGAAACCUUGUUCUGAAGGACCCACGGGGUAAAAUUCUAUGGCAAAGCUUUGAUUUUCCUACUGAUACUCUUCUGCCAAACCAAAUCCUUACUACAAGCACACAGCUGAUCUCUAUAAUCAGAAGAGGGGAUUUUUCCUCUGGUCACUUUUACUUCUUUUUUGAUAAUGACAAUGUCUUGAGAAUGAUGUAUAAUGGGCCUGACAUUUCAAGCUUGUAUUGGCCUAAUCCUGAUUGGAAUGUUUUCGGAAAUGGAAGAACAAACUAUAACAGUAGCAGAAUUGCUGUUUUAGAUGAAAUGGGGAGGUUUCUUUCGAGUGAUAAAAUGUCUUUCAAAGCUUCUGACAUGGGUUUUGGAGUCAAAAGGAGGCUGACAAUGGACUACGAUGGAAACCUGAGGCUCUAUAGUUUAAACCAUUCCACGGGAUUAUGGGUGAUCUCAUGGAAAGCUCUUAGCGAACAGUGUAAAGUGCAUGGGUUAUGUGGUAGAAAUGGGAUUUGUAUUUAUACACCAGAACCCAAGUGUUCAUGUCCUCCGGGCUAUGAAGUAAGUGACCCAAGUGACUGGAGCAAAGGUUGCAAGUCUAAGUUCAACCAAAGCUGUUCCCAAACACAGCACGUAAAAUUUGUGGAGCUUCCCCAGACCGAUUACUAUGGGUUUGAUCUCAAUUACAGCCAAUCUGUUUCAAUGGAAGCUUGCAGGAAAAUCUGCUUGGACGAUUGCCUUUGCCAAGGAUUCGCCUACAGGCUAACAGGAGAAGGGAACUGUUACGCAAAAAGUACCCUUUUCAAUGGCUACAAGUCCUCGAACUUCCCAGGGAGUUUAUAUUUAAAACUGCCUAUGGAUGUCGAAACGUCAGCACCCACUAUUCUUAAUGGCGCUGAUCCCAUAUGCGAGUCCAAGGAAGUUGAGGUCGUGCUGAGUUCUUCUAUGUAUGACCCUGCCAAUAAAAGGAUGAGAUGGGUUUAUCUCUACUCAUUUGCUUCUGCCAUUGGUGCAAUGGAAAUUCUCUUUAUUGUGUCGAGUUGGUGGUUUCUUUUCAGGGUACAUAAUGUGACAUCUUCAGUUGAAGAUGGAUAUGGUCCGAUUUCAAGUCAGUUCAGGAGAUUUAGCUACACCGAACUCAAGAAGGCAACCAACAAUUUCAAAGUAGAGCUUGGAAGGGGAGGCUUUGGGGCUGUUUAUAAGGGUGUUUUGGAGGAUGAAAGGGUAGUAGCUGUGAAGAAAUUGGGAGAUGUCAUUCAAGGGGAAGAGGAGUUUUGGGCUGAAAUAAUCACAAUCCAAAAAAUUUAUCAUAUGAAUCUUGUCAGAAUGUGGGGAUUCUGUACAGAGGGUAGACACAGACUUGUAGUCUAUGAGCAUGUAGAAAAUCUAUCACUGGAUAAGCAUCUCUUCAGUACGACUUUUCUGGGAUGGAACGAGAGGUUUAACGUUGCAGUGGGGACAGCAAGGGGUUUAGCCUACCUUCACCAUGGGUGUCUAGAAUGGGUUAUCCAUUGUGACGUGAAGCCUGAAAAUAUACUUCUAGACAAUGGGUUUGAACCAAAGAUUGCAGAUUUUGGGCUAGCAAAGCUGUCUCAGAGAGAUGGCCCCGGUUCCAAAGAAUUCUCUCAGAUUCGGGGGACUAAAGGAUAAAUGGCUCCGGAGUGGGCGAUGAAUCUUCCAAUUACGGCAAAAGUUGAUGUUUAUAGCUAUGGAGUUGUGGUUCUAGAGAUGGUGAGGGGAAUUCGGCUUUCAAAUUGGGUGGUUGGGGAUGGUGAGGAGCAGGAAGCUGAGAUGACGAGGUUUGUCAGGCUAGUGAAACGGAAAAUUGAAUGUGGAGAAGACAAUUGGGUAGAGGAUACAGUGGACCCAAGAUUGAAGGGUAAGUUUAGCAGGCACCAGGCAGCAAAGUUGAUCGAAAUAGGUAUUUCUUGUGUAGAGGAAGAUGGAAGUAAAAGACCUACAAUGGCCACCGUAGUCCAAGUUCUCCUGGAAUGUGAAAAUGAAGCCCAAGUCCAAACCCUGGACUGGGAUUAAAUGUCCUAGGUUAUGGGUUGUCAUUGGUUUUUCUUGUUUUCUUUUUGUAUGUCUUUCUCCGUAGCCACUUCUCUGGAACUACAUCAAUUUGGAAUCGUCCAAAUUCAUGAUCCUGUGUAGCAUAAGACAUUCACCUCCCAUAAAAUAAUAGAAAUUCACAGCAUGCAGAUACUAUGAUUUUUUUUUUCUCCCCAAAAAGAAAGACAAAAGAAAAAAAGACAGAAGUCUGUAAAAAGCAGAUGAACAAACUUGAAUUUUAUUUUUAGGACUCAAGUCAAGGGUGACUAGAUGAAUUGGUGGAUGUAGAUUCUGAUUUCCUUUCAUUUGUUUUAUUUAUAGCAGUUUCAUUUCCUUGUUCAGUCAGUAAUUUUCUUUUUCCCCUCACUUGAAGUAAUUGUUUUGAUAAUUUUGUUCCCUUCCCCCCACCUUCUUCAAAUUGGGUGUAUAAUUGAAAUGGAAGUUGGCUUAUAUUUACUGGUAAUGCUUGUGAUAUCCUUUUUCUCACCUUUUUCUUAGAAAUGAAGAAUGAGGAAAUAUGGGUGCUACAUGUUUCGCUUGUUGAGAACUGCCAUUGUCACAUAGAUUUCCUAUUGAUUAACAUGUAAUCCUUGUAUGAUUUUUGUUCCAAGGAAAUUAGUUGGUAAAAAGCUUCAGUCAAACUUUAAUUGUGUGACAUUGUAGGAAUCUUUGUCCUAGAUCUUGAAUGCCUUCUUUUUGUAUGAUAUUAGAUAUCAUGCAUCCACAAGUUCUUCUCACUUGUUCAAUUUUUUAUGAUGUGCGGUUUUUAACAUAUGGUGUUCUUAGAUGUCUGGAUCCUAGUAAGCUUUACUUGUGUGAGCUUAUCCUUGUAAAGUGGAAAAGUUAUCCUACUGAUGCAGUGUUGUUAGAUAUUCUAAUAGCUUUACUUGUAUGAGCUCAUCCUUGCAAGCUUGAAGGUUAUCUUGUUCAGGGACAUGGUCCUUGCUCUUCUUCUAGAACUUUUUAUUCCGUUCUUUUCAUUUAUUUAUUUAUUUUUGGUGUGUGUGGAUAGCCUUACUAUUAUAGCACGUGUGUUAUUUUUCCAUGGGCUAUAUUACAAUUUAUCUCUCGUAGUUUCUUCCCUUAUUUUUAGGAAGCAUACUUAUGUACGUCUGAAUUCUUAUUUGGAAGCGUCUUGGUACUUUGACUGUUUAAGUCUUAAGAAGUUGAUAUCCAAGUGUAGCUAUAUAUUGUUACUUAGAGGAUCUGCAGAUUUAAGUAGGUUUAGAUCUGAUAAAACUAUAUACCAGCACUCAUGUCCCCAUUGUUUGCAAUAUGGAGCUAUGCUGAACUGUGAAAUGAGUAGCUACUGUUACCAACUUGAGGCUUGGGUCAAAGGAAGAAAAAGAGGUUGAUAGGAUAUGUUGAACUGUGAAUUUAAUUAACUCGUGUUCAUCAUUUGAUAUCAUGAUUCUGAAUUGUUGAUCGGAUGGACCAAAUGCAUUUGGUGUGGUACUUGUUUUAAUUGGACCUGGUAACAUUGAUCAGGUCCUGGUUUUUUUUUUCUUCUUCUUUUUUUUUUUUUUUCCAGCAAUGUUUGCUUUUUGAAACACCAAUUUUCUCAUCAUGAUUGUAGGAAGUACAGAGAUGCCAGAUGCAAUGGAGAUGAUAUUUCAGUCUGCCCUUGCUUUGGGUAGAAACGGGGCCGCGAGUUAUUUGUUUUCCCUGAAAUUUCUUGCACUUACAUCAUAUCGUGCUUUUCCAUGUCUAAUUUUUAGUACCACACUCAAUUGAGCUAAUUGACAGUAAGUUUCUUGCUUUUGCUUUGCAUUACAUUUUAGUAUGCAAAAUAAAAGGAAAAAAAAAGAAAAAAGAAAAAGAAGAGUGGACUCUUCUAGAAUUACCAGAAAACAAAAAAUAAGCAUGGGUUGUUGUUUGUUUGUGGAGUUAUUUUAGUUUUUGACGUCAUGCUCCUCAAGCAACAUCUUAUAAGACGAUUUUUAGUAUUAGGUCCAACAUGAACUAGUGCAAGUGUGAAGAUUGCAUUUUCUCAUGUCUCAGACUCUCCAGUAGAGGGAAUCAUACUCUCUCCAUUUGACUUGACAUGUGAUAUGCUGGAAACCUGAAACAUGGCCUUGGUUUGGCUGGUGUCAUUUUUCACUACUCAAGAGAUUUCUUGCCCAUAUGCUAAAGACUUUUAUAAGUAGUCUAUAUAACUAACUGCCCUUGGCAAAAACUCAGCGUGUCUAUAACUAAAGAUGUACGUUAGCAAUAGCAUUAUAUGGAUAUGGCUUUGUGGUUCAACACGAAUACAAUGACACUUUCCUGGAGAAUACCUGAAUAAGAUGAAUAACAACAAAUGUCACAUGAAAGCAAAUUGGUCGUGCCAAUUAAGAAUUUCUGUUUCAUACAUGUCAGCAAGUUGAUGAGCUAAUGGGUGAUGUGGAAAGCGCAGUGUCCUUGUAUUCAAAGGCGGUGCACUUGUUAGUGUUCCUUCUAGUGGAAGCACCAUCCCUCAUUCUCAACCCUCCCUUCUUCUUACAAACUCAGACCAGUAUAGGCUUCGAACUUACAUUGAUAUCCUUAAUAGGCAAGAGUCCACUCAAGGUCUCAAAGGAUGAAUCUUCUUAAGUGCGAGGAUCAACAAUGCCCCCCUUAAAAGCUAGUGUAACUUUUAAAUAUCCAAGGUGCCAUGACUUCCAUAUAAAAUCAUUUAUUUGUAAAGAUGUUCUUUGAGUGACUGUGAUCCCUUAUUUGGGACUCAAAUCAUGAUUCUAUAAUUUAAAGACUGAUGAAAUGUGCAUUUUUUUCCCAUCUCUGUCCAUUUGGAUGUGCAUUUUCUGACCAGGUGUCUAUUCAGGGGUCAUUGCCUAAAAAGCCAAUCUGGACGGUUCUGUUAGAUGAAUGGACUAGUGACUUCAAAUGCAAAUUUUGGAGCCACUAAAAACUCCUAACGGAUGGGCUUGUGAUUUCAAAUGCCAUCGAACAUGUAUUUUUUAUUUUUUAUUUUCAGGCCUGGAGAUACAAUGCUGUUUAUGGGACACCAGAUCUACUUUAAGGUCUUGCUUGAUUUAUGGGAAGAAAAUGUGCGGAAAAUUAUUUUCCUUAUAACUGGUGAGGUAGAUGAGUGCAGCUUGUGUCUAAGCAGCUUCCAUUGAAUAUUUGAGGAAAAUUCUCCUAUGAAUAAUUAGCAUCUUAUUCAAAACUUAUGAGGAGGGUUCCAAUCAGUAAAGAGUCCUGCAAAGGCUUGAUUAUCUUAGCAUGAGUCAUCAUCCCAUGACCAAGAGCGAAUACAGAAAUGUUAGGCAUGCCGCAUACGAAGGCGCCAAUCAUUUUAUCAGCCUAUCACAAUAUGCAUUAUGUAUUCCAAUUAUAUUCAAAAUUUCACCACCCGUAAAUAGGGCAGCAUAUUUCAAAACACCUACCGUAUCUUCCAAUGUUUUAAAGAGUGUCACAAGUUUCUCUAAAUCUUCCUCAUUCUUAGCUGGCAAAUGUGGACACCUUCCUUCAGGAAGAAUACAAUAUCAAUGGAUCUCCUUUAACUACUUGAUGAAAAUCAUUUCCUGCCAUUUCACAAUUGGGUCUUAUCGGAUGAGGUUACUAGAAUGAAUGGAACUUGGUGGGUCGGAGUCCACAUUGAUGAAUGGUGAAAUGGUGCCCAGUAAAAAGGCAAAUAACACAAGAUUGAGAAGACGAAAGCAUGUCUUUUUUCAUUAUAACUUCAAAGGGAAGAUUCAUGGUGGUGAUCAAAAUGAAAUCUCCAAAUAAAGAUGGCUAGUUAUACUCUAACUCUGCUGGUUUGGAAAUCCAAGAUCUACCUUGUCGAGAAUGAUCAAAUUUUAGGGGUGUUAUCAAUAUUGUCCCCUAAGCUAAUGACCAAUUCAAGGCAUUGAAAUAUAAUUAAAAAAAUGCAACAAGUAGGAGUGGAUAUUAAAAAGAAGGGAGUCUUAUGUCAUAAGACGCUUCAAAUGACCCUCCCUAUGGGCUUAUAUAGGAAAUAGGAAGCUUUUAAAGACCCCAAGAGACAUCUACACUUAGCUACAAAGUGGAAGAGUAUGGAAGUUUUUAGAGAGGGUUAGAGAUGUCUACACAUCUCUACACUUGACUAGGAGAGCAUUGGAAUAGUGUGGAAUGUUCUAAAUUCUUCCAAAGGCAUCUUGUACAUAACCUUAUACAUAGACUAGUGUAGGAGCUUCUAGAUUAUUCUUGAUCUGUAAGGAAACCUCUAAGGUUCUACAUACUUCCUGAGGUGUCUAUAAAUAGGUUAAGGCCUCAUUUGGCCAAGACACCACCCAAAUCACUUUCUAACCAAGCAAGUGAGCUUUCAAAGCACUUGUAAAACAUCAUUUGAGAGCAAUAGAAGCUUCCAUUCUUUAAGAGUUGCCUAUUUCGCCUUCUAAAGCUUCCAAUUCGUGAGUAGUAAGCUAAGUACUAGGAGUAAGGUUGACAUAGCAAGAUCACAAGUCUUGGUUUGUCUAAGUGUCACAUGAGCUUAGGAAAAUAUUAAUUCUAUGAUAGUUGGUAUUAGAGUAUGGUUGCAAAGCAGGCAUUGUGAAGGAAGCAUAUUGGGGUCCAAUGUUGAUGACACUAGUGAGCAAACUCGUGGAAGGAAAACCGAGCCUAUUGUACGGGGUAGGGGUAGGAAGGAUAAGUCUCAUGAUGUCGUUGUCAACAUAGAGGCAAGGGCUAGCCAAAAUGGAGCUAGCCAUGGCGGACUCUCGGGAGGGGUUGGACUUGAUUGAGCAAGGCAUGGAGAAGGGCAUGGAAGAUCUUAGGGAAUAGAUCCAAGACCUUCGUGAGGAGAUGCUAGUCUCAUAGGUUCAACUAGUGUCACACGAGGAGUUUGUGUCCUUCGAAAAGAAGGUCAUGAGUGUGCUUACUAGCAUGGAGUCAAAGAUGGAGGCUUUGGCUACCAUAGAGUCCCGAGACCAAGGGGUUAGGCAAUAGUUGGCUAUCUAUAAGGUCGUUGUGUCAGCGCUAGUCAUGGCCAUAUGGGAGGCAUCUAGGAUAGAGAUACUGAAGCCACAAGGGUUUAGUGGCAAGUAGGAUGCCAAAGAGUUAGACAACUUCUUAUGGCAUAUGGAGCAAUACUUCGAGACUAUCGCACUAACUGAUGACGGCUAAGGUAAGGACUAUGAUCCUCUACCUUACUAACAUAGCUACUCUAUGGUGGCGUCAAAAGUUCACCGAUAUGGAGAAAGACAUUUGCAUCAUAGAAACAUGGGAGGACUUUAAAAGGGAAAUCAAAAGGUAGUUCUACCUCGAGGACGUGGCCUACCUAGCUAGGAAAAACAUGAGACGUCUUAAGCACACAAACUCGAUUUGUCUCUAUGUCAAGGAGUUCUCUUCGCUCAUGCUUGAGAUUCCUAAUAUGACUGAGGAGUUGUUAUUCAACUUCAUGGAUAACCUACAAAGGGGGGCCAAGCAGGAAUUAAGGCAUUGAGGUGUUCAAGACUUAAUCACUGUUAUGGCAGUAGUAGAGUUUUUAACGGAUUACAAGAGGAAAGACUCCUCCAAGGUUGACUCUUUGGAGGAUAGCCAUGCCACUAGUGGAGAAGAUGAGGUUUCAAGGGACCACAACGCUCUUAGAAUGGGAUCAGGCAAGACACUUAACGUUAGGAAAAAAAGAGGUAAGACGAAAAAUAAGGACUUUACGCUUAAAAUCAAGUGUUUCUUGUAUGACAGUCCAUAUUGGGCACAAGAUUGUCCAAAGAGGAAGAUGCUUAGUGUCAUGAUCGAGGAGAAUGAAUAAGAAAAUGAGGCACAUAUGGGUUCGAUGCAACUACUAGGUACCUUCCAAGUCAACCCAAAGCGUAGUACGCUUAAGACCUUCUUACUAUUAAGGGUGCAAGUAAAGGAGGCAAAAUGGGAGCAAACUAAAGUAGCCCGUACACACAUGGACAAGGUCACCAAGGGAGAGGUGAACUUAAUGGGCAAAAGAAAACAACACUCUAAGCAUCGAAAGUGUAGGUGUCUGCAUCCAUCCAAGGCCUCAUAGGAAAAGGAGGUGAAAAAUAUCCUGGCUGAGUAAGUCACCAGGAGACAAGGGGUCCUUUUUGUGAUAGAGUAUCUAGUCCAAUGGAAAUGUCUACCUAAGAGGCAAGCAAGUUGGGAACAUGUGGAUGCCUUGAGAAAGUUUUGGAAACACAUCAAGAGAUUUCAAGAAGAGGCAACGACAGGGACAUCAAUGGUAUGGGUGAGGGAAAGUAUCACAAGAUGCUUCAAAUACCCCUCCCCAUGGGCUUAUAUAGGAGAUAGGAAGCUUUUAGAGACUCUUGGAGACAUCGACACUUAGCUACAAAGUGGAAGAGUAUGAAAACUUUUAGAGAGAGUUAGAGAUGUCCACGUAUCUCUACACUUGGCUAGGAGAGCAUUGGAGUAGUGCGAGGUGUUCUAGAGUCUUCCAAAGGCAUCUUGUACAUAGUCUUAUACAUAGACUAGUGUAGGAGCUUCUAGAUUUUUCUUGAUUUGUAAGGAACCCUCCAAGGUUCUAGAGACUUCCUAAGGUGCCUAUAAAUAGGUUAAGGCCUCAUUUGGCCAAGACACCACCCAAAUCACUUCCUAAUCAAACAAGUGAGCUUCCAAAGUAUUUGUAAAACAUCAUUUGAGAGCAAUAAAAGUUUCAAUUCUUCAAGAGUUGCCUACUAUGCCUUCUAAAGCUUCCAAGUCGUGAGUAUCUUAGCCUAGUAAGUUAAGCAUCAGGAGUAAGGUUGACUUAGCAAGAUCACGGGUCUUGACUUGUCUAAGUAUCAUAUGAGCUUAGGAAAAUACUAAGUCCAUGACAUUUAGCUUCAUUGUCGACAAGUCUUUAGUGUAUCUUCGUCUAUAGCUUACAUCAAACAAGGACAGGUCAUGAAUUCAUUUGUAGCUUUCGUCAUAUAACAAGAGUUGUUGACAUAUAAUCAGUGGGUAUACCAAUGACCAGUAUCAUUGCUAAUGAGUCUUUCACGGGCCAUCGUACAUGGCUAGCUUACAUAAGAUAAAGAACCAUCAUGAUUCAUGUGUAGCUUAUACGAGAUUGGGAGAGGUCUUCACUUAAGAGAACUUGUUGUUCAAGGCAUUAUUUCUGGGGUGACGGUCAAGUUUCUCAACAUUCAGACUUUCCCGCAACGUAACGUACAUGCACGGUGCGCCCAAAUUCAACAAAGGGCACCUUUAGAUGUGACCAUUUCUACAGUUAAAUUGGAUAAAUAUCUAUCAUCUCCCUAAGGUUUCUCAAAAAUUUAUCUCCCUUAAAAAAUCUUGGGGCAUCUCUAUUCUUUGGUUUACAGUUUGUUUGAAAAGCUGAUCAAGGUAGUGGAUAAACUUAAUUCGUGCCAUGUCUUCCCUCCUUUCGUAUGUGAACUAAUGGAUAUAAAACUAACAUUUUCUUAACCAAAGAUACAUUGUGAAGCUACAAAACUCGAACGACCAGGAGAAUGGUCUCUCUCAAAAGUCAAAACCUAAGGGUGCAAAGAAUUCUCCCCACCUUCGGGGCAAGGACAUUCAACAUCCACUCAAAUGAAGACCUAAUGCUGAAGAAAGGAAGUCAAGUCUCUUUGGCACCAUGCACGAUAAAGCUGAAAAAUGGCAGAAAAGUCGUGGUUCCUGCUGCCCUGUUGCAAAAGGCCUACUCCUUCGUGCUCCUUCCCGUGAAGAGUGGCUAUAAAAAGAAACAUAAGCAACAAAAUGGGAUCUCCUCCUCAACGAAAUCACUCUCUCCAUCUACAAGAAAACGGUAAAAAAUUCAUCUUUGUAUCCAGAAAAUGAUGAAAUAAAAUCCUCCAUUUUUCCUGAAGAAUUUUAGCUACUUCACAUAGCUAGACAAAACUAGGAAAGACAUGGGAAACCUUAGUCCUACAUCUCAAAAGUUUCCUUCCAUUCUUCUUAUCCUUCUCAUAUUUCUCAUCUCCUUCUUCCCUUUUGCAACUUCCAACACCCAGAACAUUUUGCAAAGAAGCUCCUUUCUAUCGGUCGAAGAUGAUUCAGACUACAUCACCUCCCCAGACAAAUCAUUCAAUUGUAGUUUCUAUGGGAUGGGGGAAAAUGCUUACUGGUUUUCAAUAUGGUUCACAAAUUCGAAGGAACGAACUGUUGUUUGGAUGGCCAAUCGAAACAGACCUGUCAAUGGCCGGGGCUCCAGAAUUUCGCUGCAGCAAGAUGGUGCCAUGAUUCUAAGGGAAUGCUGAUGGCACCCUGUUUGGGAGACGAACACUACCUCCACCGAUGUUGAUCGAGCAGAGCUUUUGGACACUGGAAACCUUGUUCUGAAGGACCCACGCGGUAAAAUUCUAUGGCAAAGCUUUCAUUUUCCAACGGAUAUUUAAUUUUCUGCCAAACCAACUCCUCACUACAAGCACAAAGCUGAUCUCUAUAGUCAGCAGAGGGGAUUUUUCCUCUGGUCACUUUCACUUCUUUUUUUUAUAAUGACAAUGUCUUGAGAAUGAUGUACGAUGGGGAUGAAGUUUCAAGCUUGUAUUGGCCUAAUCCUGAUGGGAAUGUUUUCCGAAAUGGAAGAACAAACUAUACCAGUAGUAGAAUUUAUGUUUUAGAUGAAAUGGGGAGGUUUCUUUCGAGUGAUAGAAUGUCUUUCAAAGCUUCUGACAUGGGUUUUGGAGUCAAAAGGAAGCUGACAUUGGACUACGAUGGAAACCUGAGACUCUAUAGCUUAAACCAUUCUACGGGAUUAUGGAAUAUAUCAUGGGAAGCUCUUAGCGAACAGUAUAAAGUGCACGGGCUAUGUGGUAAAAUCGGGAUUUGUAUUUAUACGCUAGAACCCAAGUGUUCAUGUCCUCCGGGCUAUGAAGUAAGUGACCCAAGUGACUGGAGCAAAGGUUGCAAGUCUAAGUUCAACCAAAGCUGUUCCCAACCACAGUAGGUAAAAUUUGUGGAGCUUCCCCAGACCGAUUACUAUGGGUUUGAUCUGAAUUAUAGCCAAUCUGUUUCACUAGAAGCUUGCAGGAAAAUCUGCUUGGAGGAUUGCCUUUGCCAAGCAUUAGCCUACAGGCUAACAGGAGAAGGGAUCUGUUACCCAAAAAGUACCCUUUUCGAUGGCUGCAAGUCCUCGAACUUCCUAGGGAGUACAUAUUUAGAACUGCCUGUAGAUGUCUAAACGUCAGCACCCACUAUUCUUAAUGGCUCUGAUAACAUAUGCAAGUCUAAGGAAGUUGAGGUCGUGCUGAGAUCUUCUUCUAUGUAUGACACUGCCAAUAAAGGGAUGAGAUGGGUUUAUCUCUACUCAUUUGUUUCCAUCAUUGGUGCAAUGGAAGUUCUCUUUAUUGUGUCGGGUUGGUGGUUUCUUUUCAGGGCACAUAAUGUGCCAUCUUCGGUUGAAGAUGGGUAUGCUCCGAUUUCAAGCUAUUUCAGGAGAUUUAGCUACACCGAACUUAAGAAGGCAACCGACAAUUUCAAAGUAGAGCUUGUAAGAAGAGGCUUUGGGGCUGUUUAUAAGGGUGUUUUGGAGGAUGAAAGGGUAGUAGCUGUGAAGAAAUUGGGAGAUGUCAUUCAAGGGGAAGAGGAGUUUUGGGCUGAAAUAAGCACUAUCCGAAAAAUGAGUUUUGACCCAAGAUAUUAAAAAAAAAAAAAUUCAUAAAAUAAACUUUGUUUCCGAAAUAAUACCUAAUUUAGUGUGUCUAUGACACGUGUUUUAAUAAAACUAAACAAAAAUAUUUUUAUAUCAAAUUAAAAAUAUCAAUGAUUUAAUUUCAUAUAUUAUUAUGUUUUAAAUUAAUAAGAUAAGUUUAUUAGCCACUCACAUAUUUUUAAUAAAUAUAAAAUCAAAAUAAUAUAAUAUUUUUAUUUAAAAAAAUUAAAAUUAAAUUCAUAGUGACUAUGACUUUGACAAUUUUAAAAUAAAUUUAAAGCAAUAGUUAUCAACUACGGUAUUAUGAUGUGGAGGCAUACGUAAUAUAAGCACACUAGAUUUAGUAUUAUUUUGGAAACAAGUUUAGUUUAUGGAUUUUUUAUUUUUAUUAAUAUCCUAAAACUGCCGAAAAAAUUAUCAUAUGAACCUUGUUAGAAUGUGGGGAUUCUGUUCAGAGGGUAGACACAGACUUGUAGUCUAUCAACAUGUAGAAAAUCUGUCACUGGAUAAGCAUCUCUUCAGCACGACUUUUCUGGGAUGGAAAUAGAGGUUUAACGUUGCAGUGGGGACAACACGGGGUUUAGCCUACCUUCAGCAGGAGUAUCUAGAAUGGGUUAUCCAUUGUGACGUGAGGCCUGAAAAUAUACUACUAGACAAUGGGUUUGAACCAAAAAUUGAAGAUUUUGGGCUAGUAAAGCUGUCCCGAAGAGGUGGCCUUGGUUCAGGAGAAUUCUCUCGGGUUCCGGGGACUAAAGGGUACAUGGCUCCAGAGUGGGCUAUGAAUCUUCCAAUUACGGCAAAAGUUGAUGCUUAUAGCUAUGGAGUUGCGGUUCUAGAGAUGGUGAGGGGAAUUUGGCUUUCAAACUGGGUGGGUGGGGAUGGUGAGGAGCAGGAAGCUGAGCUGACGAGGUUUGCCAGGCUAGUGAAACGGAAAAUUCAAUGUGGAGAAGACAAUUGGAUAGAGGAUACAUUGGACCCAAGAUCGAAGGGGAAGUUUAGCAGGCAGCAGGCAAUCGAAAUAGGUAUUUCUUGUGUGGAGGAAGAGAGAAGUAAAAGACCAACAAUGGCCACCGUAGUCCAAGUUCUACUGGAAUGUGAAGAUGAAGCCCAAGUAGACUUGGAGUAAAUGUCUUUUUUUUAUCUAUCGGCCUGUAUCUCUUGAACAAAUUACAUAGCUGUCAUCAGUUUUGGCUUUGUAGAGGGCAUUUGUCUAUUUAAUCCUAUAAUUCUCGUGAGAUACAUAAAAAGUAUUUAAUCCUACAAUCCUCAUGAGAUACAUAAAAAGUAUUUGUAAUAUCUCAUAUCAAAUAGAAAAGAAAGUUUUCUAUACUAUAAAAAUAUAGAUUUCUCUUUUAACUAUGUAGAUGCAUUUUAAAAUUAUGGAACCUUUUUGAAAUAGGCUUGAAGUAUCAUAUUAAAAUAAUUUAUUGGCUUUAAAUCUUUUUUUUUUUUCACUUUUUAUUUCUUAUAUUUUUCUCCUCUAUUUUCUUUCUCUUACAUUGUAUCUUAUAUUUUCAGGAAAAAAAAAUAUAGCCUAAAUAUUCCAAAUUAAAAUACAAAAUCAUGAACCGCAUUACUCUAGUAUGAAUAGUUAUAUCUGUGAAAUCAAGGUUUGGUUAAUCUUGAUUUUGAUGAUAACAAAACAAGGUUUAGAACUAAUGAUCAUAUUUCAAGUGUGAUUAGACAAGAUGAUUUCCAAAUUGGGAAUCACAAAGACAAAUCAAGCCAAAGAGAAAUCAUGAAAAAGAAGACCACCUCAAAGAGAAGUGUUUUUCAAAGACCCAAACUUCAUAAAAUCUCUUUGUAAGGUUGUUGAUGCACUAGGAUUUUCAUGCAUUACAUUUUUUACUUAUGCACCAAAAUCAUCUAAGAGUUAUUUUGUUUUUAAAUAUUUUAAGAAUUAGAUGAUUUCAUGUUUUCAACUAAAGCUUUGUGUUAAAUGUCUUUCAAACUUGUUUUAAAAGGUUUUAAGUUGAAAAAGUUGGUUGUUGAGCCAAAAAAACGGCUCAACCGGUCGAGAUCCGGGUCGACCCCCAACUCAACCGGUCGAGGGUGUAAAAAAAUUUCUCUUUCUUCCAGAAGGGUUGUUCAACCGGUUGAAGUCUGGUUGAUGCCCAACGGUCACCUAUCAAGCAUUAAAUGCUAAUGGCUAGUCAACCGGUCGACCCCUAGCUCGACCGAUCGAACCCCCAACGGCUAGUUUGACUUUUUUUCUUCUAUAAAAAGACUUCAAUCUUCAUUGUUUCAUGAGCUUAACCUUCCUAAAUCUUUUUUGAAUAUAUUUGAGCCUUGGAAGAGUAUUUUUUAGUUCACCAUUAUUUCAAAACUUGCAUAUCUUUAGUGCAUCAUUCAAUCUAAUUGUUCUUGUAUCAUUUGAGCUUAAAGUUCUUGUACUAGGAUUUUUGUGAGAUCUUUUGCUUGUAAAUCCUUAAAAGGAAGUUGUUCAAGAGUGUGAUAUCUCUUGAGAAGUGUAAAGGGUGUUUGGAGCCAAAAGUCCAAGAGGGUGAAUUGGAACCAUAAUCCAAUUGUAUUGUUUGAAGGCUUGGUUUGGAAGCCUUGAAUUAGUGGAACCUCAAGCUUGGGAUUGAAGCUAGAGGAGAGUGGAUGUAGGCCGGGUUGCGUCGAACCACCAUAAACUCUUGUGUUUGCUUUCUCUCUUCCCUACUCUUUAAUUUAUAUGCAAUUGUCUUAAUAUUGUUUAUCAUAUACUUGCAUAUAAUUGUCUCUUAAAUCCACUUGUGUAAAUUUGUGAAAAAAGACCAUCACCCUAUUCACCCCCCCUUUAGGGUGAUUACCAUAGGUUGGAUUAACCUAAUAUUCCUAACAAUAUAUUUAUCUAUCUUUAAGAAAUUUCAAUAAUACAAACGUAAUAUACAACAUGCUCUUUAACAUCAAUCAUUUUUGCUUUUCUUAAAAUCAAUUUUAAGGCUUAAUAUAAGGUGAAAAAUUAAUAUGUAACUUACCUAGACUUGGAUUGUGCUCGUUUUGCCAUAGUUUCACUUUUGUUAUGUUGGAUCUCAAAAAAUAUUAAAGAAAAUAUAAAAAAAAAUUAUUUUUUUUAUAUUUGAUUAUGUAUUUUUAAAAUUAUUUAAUAUUUAUAUAUAAUAAUAAUAAUAAUAAUAAUAAUAACUAAAUAGAAAAAUAAGACAAAGGAUAAAAUAUACAAUUUCUAACACAAGUCUAAAUGUGUUUUAUUGAUACAAAUGCACAACCAAUCAUCUAUCUACAUAUAUAUCUAUAUAUAUAUAUAUAAAUUUUAAUUAUUUUAUAAGGUAUUUUAUAUAAUAAUUAAAUUAAAAACAAAGGUAAAUUUAUAAGUAAAAUUAUCAAUAUUUUUAAAUAAAAAAUACUUAUGUAUCAUAUUUUUUUAUAUUGUUCAAUAUAUAUUAAUUUCUUUGUUAAAACUACUUUAAUAUAAAUAUUAUCAUUUUUUUUAAUUUUUUUAAAUAUUUUAUAUCAAUUUUCUCUUAUUAAUAUUUUUUUUAAUCAAAAUAUCCCACUCAUAUAUCAAUUGUAUUUGUACCUAGCAAAAAAUAUAAUAGAAAUAUUUUGUCCAAAAUAUUGGACAAAUGACUCAGUCGUCGAAAGAAUUUUGUCUUGUAGUUGAAGUUAAGGACAAGAAAUAUUGGACCUUGGACAGAAAUAUAACGAUUUACAGUUGUACCCAGUAAAAAUAAAUAAAUAAAUAAAGACCUGUUUAAUAAAGGGUCUUCGUCCAACGUAAUUAGACCAGACUUGAGUAGAUCAGUCUAAGUCAUCCUCCAAUGAUCAAGUCAAAAAAUGUUAGGCAUACCAAUGGGCUGGUCUGGUAGGCGCGGGUCGCAAUAUGCAUUUUCUUGCCUUAUCAUAUUCAAAAUUUCACGUGUAGUUUGAGUUUCCCACUUGCAUUUAAAAUUUCACACCUACCAAAUCUUUGUGUUUUAAGAGAUCCAACCAACCUAGUUUCUCUAAUGAAGACAAGAGAGCACCCUUGGUUUGUUAAUUGGAACCUCUUUGAGUGGGGUCUGGUCAGAUGAGACUAGAAUAAUACCAAAUGGAAGCUUUGUAGAGUCGACGGUCAAUGGUGAAGUGAUGGUGCCCAAUCAAAAGGCAAAUAAACGUUAUAACAAGAGGUCAUGACUCAUCACUCAUAAACUGGUAUAUCAAUGAGACAAUGACGCUAGCAAGUUUUCCGCGGGUCUUCCGUCGUCCCUAGCUUAAAAUAAGGUAAUAAGAUAAAAGAGUCGUCAUGUCUAUUAUAUAUAUUGGGUAAGGAGACGUGGUGUAAGGCAUAUUUCUGCAACUUGCUUCUUUAAAAAUUAAAAAUCCAUGCGAGUGUGUCCAAAUUUGGCAAGUGGGGUGGCGACUAGGUGGAGUCACAACGGUCAUUAUAUUCCAAACCCCAAUUAUUUAUUCUCAUGCUCGCCCACCAGUUCUUGUUUUUCUCUCUCUUCUUUUUUUAAAAAAAUCUUAAUUAUAUUUAAAAUAAAUAUAAUUUGUAUGUAAAUAAAUAUUAUAACUUUUUAUGAUUUAUUUUUAUAAGAUAUAUUUUCAUUUUAUAUUUGUUAAAAACUAAAAAAUAUUUUUUAUUUAAUUAUAUAUAUAUAAAUUGGAUGAGACAAUACAAUAUCUCAAUUACCCCCAUCAAAAUAAGAAAAUUCAAAUCUAUCACCAAUUUUAUAUGUCUUAUCCCAAACUCAUCUAAUGUCACCUAAAGUACGUGUAUCCGCGAAAACAUGUUUCAGGUCCAUUCCUAAUUGAGACAUCUUUUUUGACGGUUUGUUCACCUCAAAGCUCAAUGCCUGACAACCAAGUGACCAACCAAGCACGUCUUCUCGAAGAAAGGACCAAGCAUUUUCUGAGAACAGCUCAAGAUGGUGAGUUUAAGACCAAAAUAAUCUAUUUAUAAAAAAAAAUUGACAAGAAUAGUACCCAUCUCAAAAUAUUUAUCAAAGUAAUAUUUUGUAUUCACAUUUAUAUGAAUUUUUUUUUUAAGUGUAAAAAAUCACCGUUGAUAACUGUGGUUUUAAAAGUUUCAAAAAUAUCAUUAAAACUACAGUUUGUGACUGUGGUUUUACAAUUUCCUUAAAACCAUAAUUACUAAUUAUGAUUUCAAAAUUAUUUUUAACCCACCCCCGUUUGAAUGGUACUAUGAUUUUUAAAAUAUUCUUUAUCAUAAUAAUUAUAAAACUUUCACACUUUACCAAAAUUUCUUAACAAUGUACCAAAUUUUCUUAAAGUUCGUUUCGGAGUGGAGAAAUCUUUAUACAAUUUUCCAUUAUCAGUUUAAAACUAUUUUUCUUUUACAAAUUAUCCUUAAUAAAUUUUUUUUUACGACUGUUUUAAAAUUAUAUAUAUAUAUAUAUAUAUAUAUAUAUAUUUAUUUAUUUAUUUUUUAUAUUUUCCUUGAAAUUUUGAGAAAAUAAUUUUGCCUACAUGCAUUCCUAUAAAAAUUUAUAUAUUUAUGGUAAAUAAAAUAUUUAUUUUUUUUAUGAAUUUUAUCACAUAUGAAUUAAAGAAAAUUAUUUUUUCAUAUUAUUUUUAAAUUUUAAAAUAAUUAAACAAAUUGUUUAUAUUAUUUAAAAUUUUACAUUUUCAUAUAAAAAAUAAUGUCAAUGAUUAUGAUUUUAGGUUAUUCCUUAAUAAUUGUGGUUUACUAGUUAUUAUGAUAAAAAAUAUUUUACCAUUAAAAUGGAGGUGGAUUAAAAAUAAUUUUGAAACCACAGUUACUAACUGUGGUUUUAAGAAAAAUUGUAAAACCACAAUCGCAAAUUGUGGUUUUAAGUAUAUUUUUUAAACUUUUAAAAUCAUAGUUAUCAAUAGUGGUUUUUUAUACUUAAAAAAAAAUCAUGUGGAUGCUCACGUGCAUACAAAAGAUUACUUUGACAAAUAUUUUCUUAAUGAUGCCUUGGUUGGUAUAAUAAUGCCUUCCUCCUUAAUUUCCUACGUGAAGUAGCGGAUAUAAAACCAACAUUUUCUUAACCAACCAAAGAUGCAUUUCUGAACCAAACUUGGAAAGACAUGGGAAACCUAUUUUCCUCCAUUCUUCUCAUCCUUCUUAUCUCUUUCUUCUUCUCUUUUACAACUUCCAAAACCCAGAACUUUUUGCAAAGAGGCUCCUCUCUCUCUGUCGAAGAUGAUUCGGACGACUACAUCACCUCUCCAGACAAAUCAUUCACUUGUGGUUUCUAUGGGAUGGGGGAAAAUGCUUACUGGUUUUCAAUAUGGUUCACAAAUUCAAAGGAAAGAACUGUUGUUUGGAUGGCCAAUCGAAAUAGACCUGUCAAUGGCCGGGGCUCCAGAAUUUCGCUGCAGAGAGAUGGCACCAUGAUGCUAAGGGAUGCUGAUGGCUCAACUGUUUGGGAGACUAACACUACCUCUACCGAUGUUGAUCGAGCAGAGCUUUUGGACACUGGAAACCUUGUUCUCAAGGACCCACGAGGUAAAAUUCUGUGGCAAAGCUUUGAUUUUCCAACUGAUACUCUUCUGCCAAACCAAAUCUUUACCACGAGCACAAAGCUGAUCUCUAUACUCAGAAAAGGGGAUUUUUCUUCUGGUUACUUUAACUUCCUUUUUGACAAUGACAAUGUCUUGAGAAUGAUGUAUGAUGGGCCUGAGAUUUCAAGCUUGUAUUGGCCUAAUCCUGAUUGGGAUGUUUUCCAAAAUGGAAGAACAAACUAUAACAGUAGCAGAAUUGCUGUUUUAGAUGAAAUGGGGAGGUUUCUUUCGAGUGAUAGAAUGUCUUUCAAAGCUUCUGACAUGGGUUUUGGAGUCAAAAGGAGGCUGACAAUGGACUACGAUGGAAACCUGAGACUCUAUAGCUUAAACCAUUCCACGGGAUUAUGGAAUAUAUCAUGGGAAGCUCUUAGGCAACAGUGUAAAGUGCAUGGGCUAUGUGGUAGAAAUGGGAUUUGUAUUUAUACACCAGAACCCAAGUGUUCAUGUCCUCCGGGCUAUGAAGUAACUGACCCAAGUGACUGGAGCAAAGGUUGCAAGUCUAAGUUCAACCAAAGCUGUUCCCAAACACAGCAGGUAAAAUUUGUGGAGCUUCCCCAGACCGAUUACUAUGGGUUUGAUCUCAAUUACAGCCAAUCUGUUUCAAUGGAAGCUUGCAGGAAAAUCUGCUUGGACGAUUGCCUUUGCCAAGGAUUCGUCUACAGGCUAACAGGAGAAGGGAACUGUUUCGCGAAAAGUACCCUCUUCAAUGGCUUCAAGUCCUCCAACUUCCCUGGGAGUUUAUAUUUAAAACUGCCUGUGGAUGUCGAAACGUCAGCACCCACUGUCCUUAAUGGUUCUGAUCUCAUAUGCGAGUCCAAGGAGGUUGAGGUUGUGCACAGUUCUUCUGUGUAUGACACUGCCAGUAAAAAGAUGAGAUGGGUUUAUCUCUACUCAUUUGCUUCUGCCAUUGGUGCCAUAGAAGUUCUCUUUAUUGUGUCAGGUUGGUGGUUUCUUUUCAGGGUACAUAAUGUGCCAUCUUCAGCUGAAGAUGGAUAUGGUCCGAUAUCAAGCCCGUUCAGGAGAUUUAGCUACACCGAACUCAAGAAGGCAACCAACAAUUUCAAAGUGGAGCUUGGAAGAGGAGGCUUUGGGGCUGUUUAUAAGGGUGUUUUGGAGGAUGAAAGGGCAGUAGCAGUGAAGAAAUUGGGAGAUGCCACUCAAGGGGAAGGGGAGUUUUGGGCUGAAGUAAGCACAAUCGGAAAAAUCUAUCACAUGAACCUAGUCAGAAUGUGGGGAUUCUGUUCAGAGGGUAGACACAGACUUGUAGUCUACGAGCAUGUAGAAAAUCUGUCACUGGAUAAGCAUCUCUUCAGCACGAGUUGUCUGGGAUGGAAAGAGAGGUUUAACGUUGCAGUGGGGACAGCGAGGGGUUUAGCCUACCUUCACCAUGAGUGUCUAGAAUGGGUUAUCCACUGUGACGUGAAGCCUGAAAAUAUACUUCUAGACAACGGGUUUGAACCAAAGAUUGCAGAUUUUGGGCUAGCCAAGCUGUCUCAGAGAGGUGGCCCCGGUUCAGGAGAAUUCUCUCGGAUUCGGGGGACUAAAGGGUACAUGGCUCCAGAGUGGGCUAUGAAUCUUCCAAUUACGGCAAAAGUUGAUGUUUAUAGCUAUGGAGUUGUGGUUUUAGAGAUGGUGAGGGGAAUUCGGCUUUCGAAAUGGGUGGGUGAGGAUGGCGAGGAGCAGGAAGCUGAGCUGACGAGGUUUGUCAGGGCAGUGAAAAGGAAAAUUCAAUAUGGCGAAGACAAUUGGGUAGAGGAUACAGUGGACCCAAGAUUGAAGGGGAAGUUUAGCAGGCAGCAGGCUGCCAUGUUGGUCGAAAUAGGUAUUUCUUGUGUGGAGGAAGAUAGAAGUAAACGACCAACAAUGGCCACCGUAGUGCAAGUUCUACUGGAAUGUGAAGAUGAAGCCCAAGUCCAAACCCUGGACUUGGAGUAAAUCUCCUUUUUUUUAUUUACUGAAUAAGUUAUGGGGCCUGUAUCUCCUGAACAAAUUAGAUAGUUGUCAUUGGUUUUUCUUGUUUUCCUUUUGUAUGGGGUCUGUAGCCACUACAUCAAUUUGGAAUCUUACAAGUUCAUGGUCUUGGGUAGCAUAAAAUAUUCACCUCCCAUAUAAUAAUAGAAGUACACAGAAUGCAGAUAAUAAGAUUUUUUUUUUUUCUCCCAAAAAGAAAAGAAAAAAAGAAAAAAAAAAGAGACAGAAGUCUGUAAAAUAGUAUUGGGUGAAAAGAAAUUUAGGCCCAGAAUUUAACAGUUUCAUGCAAUCACAGAAAAGGUCCUAUCAAUGAAACUGAAAGCAUCACAAAAUCCUGUUGAAUUAAAACCUAACUUCAGCCAGCAAAAUGCCUAAGAAUUAAGGACACAUAAAAAACAGAAAAUUCAAGUGGCCUGGAGCGAUGGAAAUGGUAGUAAAGGUGCAGUCAUUACUGAAUCAAUAAAAAAGAAAAAAAUAGUUUUAAUUCCAAAUUCAUACAUAAAGUUUUGGUAACAGUUUGUUUGAUGAAAUUGAAAAUUAAGUAGAGAGAAAUAUAUUGCAUCAUGCUAAUAUAAAAUGCCUACUUACAUAAUUUGUGUACUAAAACUGUUGGAUGAGGCCCAAUUGAAAAUUUAUGAUUUCUGGAAUGUUGUAAAGACCAUAACUUGUCAGUAACUAAUAAAGGACAACCAUAUAAGUAAAUAACAAAAAUUGUUUAUGCCAACUAUUCUUGCUUGGAUAAUCUGGAGCUGAGAACCAUUAUUUAUGGCGUUAUUUUAGUUUUUGACGUCAUGCUCCUCAAGCAACAUCUUAUAUGACUAUUUUUAAUUUUUUAGGAUAAGGUCCAACAUAAACUAGUGCAAGUGUGAAGAUUGCAUUUUGUUAUGCCUCAGACACUCUGAAGUAGAGGGAAUCACACUCUCCAUUUGACUUGACAUGUGAUAUGCUGGAAACCUAAAACAUGGCCUUGGUUAGGCUGGUGUCAUUUUUCACUACUCAAAAGGUUCCUUGCCCACAUGCUCAAGAGUUAUAUGUAUAGUCUAUAUAACUAACUGACACUUGUGAUUCAACACAAAUGCAAUGACACUUUCCUUGAGAAUACCUGAAAUAAGAUGAAUAACAACAAAUGUCACACCAAAGCAAAUAGGUCGUGCCAAUCAAGAAUUCUGUUUCAUAAUUGUCUGCAGGUUGAUGCGCUCAUGGGUGAUGUGGAAAGGGAAGUAUCCUUGACCAGUGUGAUCCCUUGAGACUCAAAUCAUGAUUCUAUAAUUUAAAGAAUGAUGAAAUGUGUUUUUUUUUUUUUUUGAGUAAAUUAUGUAAAAGUGCAUUAAAAAAAUAUAAUUUUUUUUCAAAAGUAAUCCAAUAAACAUGCAUUCAAAUAGUAAUUUCAAUAAAUAUCCGUGAUUGUAUUUGAUUGUUUUCUCUUUCUUGAUUAACCUAUUUGUUUUUUUUCUUUUUUGGGUUUUUUUUUGUUUUUUUCAAACCUUGAAAUGACAUGUCAAAAGUUAGUAAUUACUUUUAAUGUUGACAUGUGCCUAAUCAACAUAUCACAUUAUUUUUAUUAUUAUUCUUUUUUCUUUAUUUUACCUAUAAAAUAAUCUACUUUUUAAUUUUUUUUUUUCACUUUUUCUCCUUUUCAUAAUUAUUGAUUUUAAUUAUUUAGAUACAUUUUAAAUAUAUAAUAAUAAUAAUAAUAAUAACGACAACAAUAAUAACAAUAACAACAACAAUAAUAAUAUAUGAUAAAUAAUUAAUAGCAAAAAAUUAAUAUGCAAAUUUAGAAGUUUAAAAUAUAUAUAUAAGAUUUUAUAUAUUCAUAUUAAAUAAAAUAUUUAUUUAUUUGAUAAAUCUUAUUAUAUAAAUUAAAUAAAAAUAGGUUUAUCAUAUUAUUUUAUUAUUUCUAUUUUUUUUUAAAUUUAAACUUUUUAUGUGAAAAUCAAAAAUCAAUUAUCGUGAUUUUUUAACUUUUUUACUUAUGAUUCUUACUUGAAUGUAGUUUUAACUUUUUUUUAGUUAAAAUCAUUAAUAUUUUUAUUUUAAAAAAUAAAAACUUGAUUAUGGUUAUAAUAUUUUACUUUAUUAAAAUUUUAUUUUUUUAUUCAUAUAAAAUAAAAAUAAAAUAUGCUUUUAAAAAAAUUGUAUUUAAUCAUUGAUAUUAAUUUUCUUUUAAAUUUAUUAAAAAUUAAAAUUUUUGUAUAAUGAAAUUGCGCAUUAAUCAACACAACUAUUGAAAAAGAAUGUAUCAUUCUUUUAUGAAAAAUGUAACACUAAAGUUUGUUAAAAAUACCAUGAAAAUGUUACUUUUAACACAUUUUAGUGUUACUUUUUUCAUAAAAGAUUGGUACAUUUUUUCUAAUGGUUGUGUUGAUCAAUGCACAAUGUCAAUAUAUAAAAAUUUUAAUUUGUAAUAAGAUUAAGAAAAAUGAACAUAAAUGAUUAAAUACAAUUUUUAUGAAAAAUAUAAAUAAAAAAUAAAUUUUUUUAAUAAAGCAUAAUGUUAUCAUCACAACCAAAUUUUCUUCUUUAAUUACAAAUAUUAAACAUUUUAGCCAAGAAAAAAAAUUUAUGUCCUAAAUCUCAAUUGUGAUUUAGGCUAGUUAAAUUUAUAAGCAAAAAGCUAAAACUAUAAUUAUCAAUUAUGAUUUUCACAUGAAAAUUUAAAGUAAAAAAUAUAAAUAAUAUGACAAUAUAAUAAGAUUUAUAAAAUAAAUAAAUAUUUUAUUUAGUAUGAAUAUAGAAAAUUUUAUAUCCUAAAUCUCUAAAUUUGUUCAUCAUGUAUUUAUUUUUAUAUUAAAUUUAUUAUCAUUAAUUAUUUAUUAUAUAUUAUUAUUUUAUGUUUAAAAAUGUCCAUAAAUAAUUAAAAUUAAUAAAUAUAAAAAGCUGAAAUAUUAGAAAAUUUUCAUCAAGUUAACAUAUUAAAAAAAAACAAAAAUAAGAUGAGGAUAUUAAUCAUGUAGUAUGGUGAUUGCUGCAUGUCAUUUUUUUUUAAACAAUAAUAGUUAUGAUGAGUUCAUUUGUCUUGUCAAAGUAAAUAAUAAAAAGAAAAAAAAAAGUGAUAAUAAAAAGAAAAAAAAAGUGAUAGUUGAGGGAGGUGAAAGAAGAGGGAUUGAGGGUAAGUUUGAAAUAUCGAUUAUUUUCAUUAUUUGAGUGCUUUGGGAUUAUUUUCCCUUCUUUGAAAAUCAAAAAUCAAAGUUCUAAAAAAUGCAAUUUCUUUUUUUUAAAUGAUACAUGAUUACAUGAUUCCCCCUUUUUUUUUCAUCUUCUCAGUGCAUUUGGAAGUGCAUUUUCUGACCAGGUGUUUGUUCAGGGGUAAAUGCCUAAAACACAAAUCUGGACGAUUCGGUUAGAUCAAUUAUGCUGCAAGGCAUCCUUUCAACACGUACAAGAUAGUUAUCCAGUACUCGUGUAACUUAAAAACUUUUUAUUUGAGUUUCAUGCCAUAUUUUUUCCCUAAGCAAAUGAAAUAAUUCUACUGCUUCUUAUUAAGCGUUUAGAAUGGGUUAAAAUCCUAUAUCUGAAUGUGGGGAACAAUUUGCUCAGUGAAUGAAUUGCAUCAUCUUUACAUUUUAUUUCUUCCACUUUUGCUGCUGAAAAUAUGGGUGGUCUCAUCCGAAGUUGGGACAUGUUUCGGGGCCACUGCAUUCGAAUGAAUGGACUAGUGACUUCAAAUGCAAAUUUUGGACCACUAAAAGCUCCUAAGGAAUGGAGUUGUGAUUUCAAAUGCCAUAGAAGAUGUCUUUUUAUUUUUUAUAUAUUUUUUUUCAGCCCGGCGAUACAAUGUUGUUUAUGGGACAUCAAAUCUACUAGAAGGUCCUGCUUGAUUUAUAGGAAGAAAAUGUGAAGAAAAUUAUUUUCCUUAUAACUAGUGAGGUAGGUGGGUGCAACUUGUGCUCUAAGCAGCUUUCAUUGAAUAUUUGACAAAAUUAUCCUAUAAAUAAUUAGCAUCUUCCUCUAUGUGUCAUUUCCAGACUCAAGAUCCUUUCGUCGAUCAAGACAAACAUAUAACCCAUCUGGGAUUACUCUAUUUGGACCAAGAUAAGCUCCGUCUGGCACCUGAAAUGAGAAGUUUUCCUUCUUCCAUAAUGCCAGACGAAAUGGACAGACCAAGCCGACUAGACCUUUUAGACAGACAAAUCAAUCCAGUCAAGUCUUCAAGAUUUCUGAAAUGCGUGGUUAAUCACGCCUGAUGUCUUAGCAAUGGACUAGACGCUUGAUGUCUAAGCGACGACUAGAUGUCUGGUGUCUGAAUGAUGACCUAUACGCUUGAUGUUUGAGCAACGAACUAGACGUCAUUUACACCCAAAAGUCAAUGCCAAUCAAUUGUUACACACAAUCCCAUAUAUUGGCAAGCUAAAUGGACAGUCAACUACAUGAUCCAAGAUUUUGGCAUGAUAGUCAGCAAAUGGCAUAAGUCAGUAGCCCUUACUUGAUAUGAUUGCCCAUUUCACACAAUAGUGACAACGUUGACUGUCCUAGCAAGGCUCGAUUUUCGUCCUAAUGACAAUCAUCAUUACAAGAAAGACAAGAGUGCAUAAUCAAUGCUAUAAUCACGAUGUCAUCAGUUCUAUAUAAACCCCUCAAAAAGCACGAAUAAGAUAUACACUCAUUCUCUCCCACAAAAAAUAGUUAAAGCUAUCCUCAAUGAUUGCUGAUUUAAGCUUUGGAGGGGUGUGUCUGAACCACAUGUCCGGACAUCCUUCUGUGUAAGGAAGAAGUCCACCUAACUCCAGUGAAACUAGACGGACCUGAAUCCAAUUGGCUCGACACCAACAUAUGUGAUUCAAAACUCACAUGGAAGGCUCCAAUCAGUAAAGAGUCCUUCUCCAACGUGAUUAUCUCAGCAUGAGCCAUCAUCCCAUGACCAAGAGUGAAUACAAAAAUGUUAGGUAGGCCGCAUACAAAAGUACCCAUCGUUCUAUUAGGCUGUCGUAAUAUGCAUUAUCUAUUCGAAUUAUAUUCAAAGUUUCACCACUCGUAAAUAGGGCUGCAUAUUUCAAAAUUCCACACCUACCCCAUCUUCCAGUGUUUUAAGAGUUUCACACAAGUUUCUCUAAAUCUUCCUCAUUCUUAGCUGGCAAAUGUUGACACCUUCCUUUAGGAAUAAUACAAUAUCAAUGAUUCAAUAGAUCUCCUUUAACAACUUGAUGAAAAUCAUUCCCUUUCAUUUUCAUAAUUAGGUAUUGUCGAAUGAGGUUACUAGAAUAAAUGGAACUUGGGUUCACAUUGAUUAAUGGUAAAAUAGUGCCAAGUGAAAAUGCAAAUAACACAAGAUUAAUGAGAAGAAGAAAACACAUCAUUUUUCAUUACAACUAAAAAUGGAAGAUUCAUGGUGGUGAUUGAAAUGAAAUCUCCAAAUAGAGAUUGGCUAGUUAUAUUGUGACCUUGGUGGUUUGGAAAUCCAAGAUCUACCUUGUUGAGAAUGAUCAAAUUUUAGGGGUGUUACCAAUAUUGUCCCUCAUACUAAUGACCAAUUCAAGGCAUUGAAAUAUAAAAAAUGAAGCAGGUAGGAGUGGAUAUUAAAAAAAGAAGGGUGUCUUAGCUUCAUUGCCGACAAGUCUUUAGAGGAUCUUCAUCUAUAACUUACAUCAAACAAGAAGGGGUCAUGAAUUCAUUUGUAGUUUUCCUCAAAUAACAAGACUUGUUGACAUAUAUAUAAUCAGCGGGUAAACCAAUGGCUAGCAUCAUUGCUGAUGUAUGUAGCUAGCUUACGUAAGAUAAAGAACUAUCAUUAUCCAUGUGUAACUUAUGAGGUAGGAAUAGGCCUUCACAAAAAAGAACUUAUCUAAGGCAUUAUUUCUAGGGUGGUGUUUGUUGAAUUUUGAAUUUUGUCUUAGUAUUUGCUGGAAUUUGAAUUUUGAAGUUAAAUAUUGCAGUUGGAGUCUUGCACAAAAUCUACAGCAUCCAAAUAUUUUCUUGUUUUUUAUUUGGUCAAGAUUUGGUUUCUAUUUUAUAGAAAGUAGUUGUUCAUCAUCUAGCAACUUGAUUUUACGCUAUUCUAAUGUCAUUUUAGUUACAAGCUCAUGUAUAAAUUUAACACUCUUUAUCAAUAAAAUGUGUGUUCCAGGAACCCAAAAAUAUAUAUUCUUCAUAAGUGUUUAGUCAAAUCAACAUUGUGGUAUCAAAGCAGAAGUUAUCGUGAAGGGCCAAUGAGUUGAGUGAGCCUAAAUACCUUGAGAGUGCCUAAACACCACAGACCCGUGAGGUGAGUGAACCCAAAACACCACAAGUGAACCUAAACGCCUUCUAAAAUCAUCUAGCAAUGAAGGAGUCAAGUGUCACAGCUGCACCAUCAAUUCUUGAUGGAGACAAUUAUGAAACUUGGGUUGUUAGAAUGACAAUUCAUCUACAAGUACUUAAUGUUUGGGAAGUAGUGGAAGAAAAUUAUGAAGUUCCUCCACUAUGAGCCAAUCCAACUGUGGCUCAAAUGAAGUUGCAGAAAAAAAGAAAAACAAGAAAGGCUAAAGCGAAGGCUUUCUUGUUUGCUGCAAUUUCACCAUCAAUUUUGAUAAAAAAAUCAUGAAAAUUGAUUUAACUGCAAAAAUUUCGGAGUGGCUUAAGGAGGAAUACAAAGGAGAUGAAAGAAUCAAGAACAUGCAAGUGAUGAACUUGAUUUGAGAAUUUGAAAUGAAGAAAAUGAGGGAGUCUGGUGUUGUUAAAGUCUAUGCUACACAAUUUCUUUCAAUAGCAGACAAAGUUAGGCUGUUUGGAAAAGAAUUUUCCAAUCAGAAGAUUGUUCAAAAGAUAUUGGUUACACUUCUAGAGAAAUAUGAAGCUACAAUUUCCUCUUUGGAGAAUUCAAAGGAUCUGUCAACUAUUAGCUUGAUAGAAUUAUUACAUUCCUUGGAGAUUGUGGAACAAAAAAGGUUCAUGAGACAAGGAGAUACUAUAAAAGGAGCAUUUCAAGCAAGAAUGCAGAAAAAUGCAGGCCAUAAAAAUGGAGAGAAGAAAAAAAAAAAAAAAACAAGCUAAACAAUAUCAACCAGAAAAAUGGAGUUUUUCCACCUUGUCUUCAUUUUCCACAAAAAUGUUGGUAGGAACCAGAUGUGAAAUGUAACAAGUGUGGUAAACAAGGACAUGUGGAGAUGAUUUGCAAAAAUCAAUAACAAGAAGAAACUAGUGCAACAGUUGACCAAUGCCAAGAGGAGCAAUUGUUUGCAACAACGUGUUUUGCUAAUAAAAACACCUCUGAAAGUUGGCUUAUGGAUAGUGGUUGUACAAACCACAUGACAAAUAAUCAAGAUCUUUUUAGAGAACUUGAUAGAACAAUUAUUUCCAAAGUUAGAAUUGGAAAUGGUGUACUUAUUCUAGUGAACGGAAAAUGAACGGUUGCUAUCGAAAGCCAAAUAGGUUUGAAACUCAUUUAUGAUGUUUUGUUUGUGCCUGACAUUGACCAAAACUUAGUCAGUGUUGGACUUGUUGAGAAAGGAUCUAAAGUUUAUUUUGAAGAUAGGAAUUGUAUUAUUAAGGAUGCUGAAGGCAAAGAGGUGUUUAACAUAAAACUAAACUGCAAGAGUUUUGCUUUGAAUUUACUGGAAAAUGAGCAUGUUGUUGUUUUACAACAAGAUAGUACAAAAAUGCUUUGGCACAGAAGACUCGGGCACUUUAAUCAUGAUGUUGUGCUCUACAUGAAAAAAACUCAAAUAGUUGAAGAACUUCUUGAAUUUGAAAAAGAUCUUCCUAUAUGUGCUACUUGUCAAUAUGGGAAGCAAACUAAACUUUCAUUUCCAAAGAAAACAUCCUGGAGAGCAACCCAAAAACUGCAACUGGUGCAUACUAAUGUUGGUGGACCUCAAAAGACACCAUCCUUGAAAGGGAGAAACAAUGUGGGGCUGGCCAAUAAGUUCAAGGCUGAAAUGAAGCAAGUCCUGGAAAUGACAGACCUUGGAGAGAUGACUUAUUUCUUGGGAAAAGAAGUACAUCAUCAACAACAUGAUAUUUUCAUCUGUCAGAAAAAAUAUGCAAAAGAAAGAUUGAAGAAAUUCAGAAUGGAAGAAUGCAAGCCUACAUCAACUCCUAUGAACCAAAAAUAGAAUUUUUGUAAGGAAUAUGGUACUGAAAAGGCCGAUGAAGGAAAUUUUAGAAGCAUGAUUGGAUGCUUAAUGUACUUGACCGCAAUAAGACCAGAUAUAAUGUACAUCGUAAGUCUACUUUUGAGGUACAUGCAUUGUGCAAGUGAAAUUCAUUUUCAGACAACAAAACGUGUGUUGAGAUAUGUUAAAGGUACAAUUGAUUAUGGUAUUAAGUUCAAUCAAGUUAAAAAAUUCAUUCUUCAUGGAUAUUCCGAUAGCGAUUAGGUUGGAUGUGUUGAUGAUAUGCGAAAUACUUCAGGCUGUUUUAGUUUUGGUUAUAGUAUAUUUUCUUGGAGUUCAAAGAAACAAGAAGUUAUGGCUCAAUCCACAGCUGAGGCGGAGUAUGUUGCUGUUGUUGAUGCUGUAAAUCAAGUUUUCUGGUUUAGAAAGUUGCUGACAGAUCUGGACAUGAAGCAAGAAAUGAGUACUCAAGUGUUUGUUGACAACCAAGCUGCUAUAUCUAUUGCCAAUGACCCGGUUUUUCAUGGCAAAACAAAGCACUUCAAGAUUAAACUAUACUUUCUGACCGUGGUGCAGAAGGAAGGAAAUGCGCAACUAGUCUAUUGUAACAUGGAGAGUCAAAAUGCUGAUAUAUUAUCUAAAUCUCUUCAUAAAGCAAGGUUUGAGUUUCUACGUGGAAGACUUGGAGUUUGCAUCUACUAAGUCAAGGAGGAGUGUUGAAUUUUGAAUUUUUCCUUAGUAUCUGUUGGAUUUGAAUUUUAAAGUUAAAUAUUGCAGUUGGACUCUUACACAAAAUCCGCAACAUCCAAAUAUAUAUAUAUUUUUUUUGUCAAGAUUUGGUUUCUAUUUUAUAGGAAGUAGUUGUUCAUCAUCAAUAAAAUAUUUCGUCAAGAUUUGAUUUUCUGUCAUUCUAAUGUCAUUUCAGUUACAAUCUCACGUAUUAAUUCAAUAUUCUUUAUCAAUAAAAUGUGUGUUUUAGCACCCAAGAUUUGGUUUCUAUUUUAUAGGAAGUCAGAUCCACAGCGUUCACAGUAUUAGACAAAGGGCACGUUCAGAUGUGACCCUUUCCACAGUCAAAUUGGAUAAAUAUGUGUCGUCUCCCUAAGGUUUCUCAAUAAUUCAUCUCCGUUAAAAAAUCUUGAGGCAUCAUCACUCUGUGGUUGACAGUUUGUUUGAAAAGCUGAUCUGGCAUGGAUAAAAUCUUGGGCUAUCUUUACUCUGUGGUUGACAGCUUGUUUGAAAAGCUGAUCAGGAUAGUGGAUAGACUUAAUUGGUGCCAUGUCUUCCCUCCUUUCAUACUUGAACUAGUGGAUUUAAAUCCAACAUUUUCUUAACCAACCAAAGAUACAUCGCUAAACAAAACCAUAGGAAAGACAUGGGAAACCUUAGUCCUACAUCUUCAAAGUUUCCUUCCAUUCUUCUUAUCAUUCUCAUAUUUCUCAUCUCCUUCUCUUUUGCAACUUCCAACACCCAGAACCUUUUGCGAAGAGGCUCCUCUCUCUCUGUCGAAGAUGAUUCCGACUACAUCACCUCCCCAGACAAAUCAUUCACUUGUGGUUUCUAUGGGAUGGGGAAAAAUGCUUACUGGUUUUCGAUAUGGUUCACAAAUUCAAAGGAAAAAACUGUUGUUUGGACGGCCAAUCGAAACACACCUGUCAAUGGCCGGGGCUCCAGAAUUUGGCUGCAGCGAGAUGGCACCAUGAUUCUAAGGGCUGCUGAUGGCUCAACUGUUUGGGAGACGAACACUACCUCCACAGAUGUUGAUCGAGCAGAGCUUUUGGACACUGGAAACCUUGUUUUGAAGGACCCGCGGGGUAAAGUUCUAUGGCAAAGCUUUGAUUUUCCUACUGAUACUCUUCUGCCAAACCAAAUCCUUACUACAAGCACAAAGCUGAUCUCUAUAAUCAGAAGAGAGGAUUUUUCCUCUGGUCAUUUUUACUUCUUUUUUUAUAAUGACAAUGUCUUGAGAAUGAUCUAUGAUGGGCCUGACAUUUCAAGCUUGUAUUGGCCUAAUCCUGAUUGGGAUGUUUUCCAAAAUAGAAGAACAAACUAUAACAGUAGCAGAAUUGCUGUUUUAGAUGAAAUGGGGAGGUUUCUUUCGAGUGAUAGAAUGUCUUUCAAAGCUUCUGACAUGGGUUUUGGAGUCAAAAGGAGGCUGACAAUGGACUACGAUGGAAACCUGAGACUCUAUAGCUUAAACCAUUCCUCGGGAUUAUGGAAUAUAUCAUGGGAAGCUCUUAGCCAACAGUGUAAAGUGCAUGGGCUAUGUGGUAGAAAUGGGAUUUGUAUUUAUACACCAGAACCCAAGUGUUCAUGUCCUCCGGGCUAUGAAGUAAGUGACCCAAGUGACUGGAGCAAAGGUUGCAAAUCAAAGUUCAACCAUAGCUGUUCCCAACCACAGCAGGUAAAAUUUGUGGAGCUUCCCCAGACCGAUUACUAUGGGUUUGAUCUCGAUUAUAGCCCAUCUGUUUCAUUAGAAGCUUGCAGGAAAAUCUGCUUGGAGGAUUGCCUUUGCCAAGGAUUCGCCUACAGGCUAACAGGAGAAGGGAACUGUUUCGCAAAAAGUACCCUUUUCAAUGGCUACAAGUCCUCCAACUUCCCUGGGAGUUUAUAUUUAAAACUGCCUGUGGAUGUCCAAACGUCAGCACCCACUGUCCUUAAUGGUUCUGAUCUCAUAUGCGAGUCCAAGGAGGUUGAGGUUGUGCACAGUUCUUCUGUGUAUGACACUGCCAGUAAACAGAUGAGAUGGGUUUAUCUCUACUCAUUUGCUUCUGCCAUUGGUGCCAUAGAAGUUCUCUUAAUUGUGUCAGGUUGGUGGUUUCUUUUCAGGGUACAUAAUGUGCCAUCUUCAGCUGAAAAUGGAUAUGGUCCGAUAUCAAGCCAGUUCAGGAGAUUUAGCUACACCGAACUCAAGAAGGCAACCAACAAUUUCAAAGUGGAGCUUGGAAGAGGAGGCUUUGGGGCUGUUUAUAAGGGUGUUUUGGAGGAUGAAAGGGCAGUAGCAGUGAAGAAAUUGGGAGAUGCCACUCAAGGGGAAGGGGAGUUUUGGGCUGAAGUAAGCACAAUCGGAAAAAUCUAUCACAUGAACCUAGUCAGAAUGUGGGGAUUCUGUUCAGAGGGUAGACACAGACUUGUGGUCUACGAGCAUGUAGAAAAUCUGUCACUGGAUAAGCAUCUCUUCAGCACGAGUUGUCUGGGAUGGAAAGAGAGGUUUAACGUUGCAGUGGGGACAGCGAGGGGUUUAGCCUACCUUCACCAUGAGUGUCUAGAAUGGGUUAUCCACUGUGACGUGAAGCCUGAAAAUAUACUUCUAGACAACGGGUUUGAACCAAAGAUUGCAGAUUUUGGGCUAGCCAAGCUGUCUCAGAGAGGUGGCCCUGGUUCAGGAGAAUUCUCUAGGAUUCGGGGGACUAAAGGGUACAUGGCUCCAGAGUGGGCUAUGAAUCUUCCAAUUACGGCAAAAGUUGAUGUUUAUAGCUAUGGAGUUGUGGUUUUAGAGAUGGUGAGGGGAAUUCGGCUUUUGAAAUGGGUGGGUGAGGAUGGCGAGGAGCAGGAAGCUGAGCUGACGAGGUUUGUCAGGGCAGUGAAAAGGAAAAUUCAAUAUGGAGAAGACAAUUGGAUAGAGGAUACAGUGGACCCAAGAUUGAAGGAGAAGUUUAGCAGGCAGCAGGCAGCCAUGAUGGUCAAAAUAGGUAUUUCUUGUGUGGAGGAAGAUAGAAUUAAACGACCAACAAUGGCCACCGUAGUGCAAGUUCUACUGGAAUGUGAAGAUGAAGCCCAAGUCCAAACCCUGGACUUGGAGUAAAUGUCCUUUUUUUUAUUUACUGAAUAAGUUAUGGGGUCUGUAUCUCGUGAACAAAUUACAUAGUUGUUAUUGGUUUUUCUUGUUUUCUUUUUGUAUGGGGUCUGUAGCCACUUGUCACAAGAUGCUUCAAAUGACCCUCCCCAUGGCUUAUAUAGGAGGUGAGAAGCUUCUAGAGACCCUUGGAGACAACCACACUUAGCCACUAGUGGGAAGAGUGUGGAAGGUUCUAGAAAUGCCUAGAGAAGUCCACACAACUCUACACUAUGGUAGAAGGCAUGAGAAGGGUCCAAAGCUUUCUAGAGAAAUCUAGAAGUCUCUUGAAUAUUCUAGAAUAGUGUAGGACAUUCUAGAAGUCUCUUGAAUAUUCUAGAAUAGUGUAGGACUAUCUAGAAGUCUCUUGAAUAUUCUAGAAUAGUGUAGGACAUUCUAGAAUAUUCAUGAAUUGUAAGGAACCCUCCAAGGUUCUAGAGAGUUCCAUUGGUGCCUAUAAAUAGGUGAGGGCCUCAUUUGGCCAAGGCACCAAGCAAGUGAGCAUCCAAGCACUUGUAAAGGCUUUCUUGAGAUAAUAAAGCUUUCAUUCUUUAAGGAGUUGCCUACUAAGCUCUUAAGCUUUCGAGUCGCGAGUGUCUUAGCCGAGCAAGCUAAGCAUUGGGGAUCAAGGCUGACUUAGCAAGAUCAAGCGUCUUGACUUGCCUAAGUGUCGCAUGAGCUUAGUGAACGACUAAGUCCGUGACAAGUGGUAUCAGAGCGUGGCUACGAAGCGGGCAUAAGGGAAGCAUGUCGGGCUCUAACAUGGAGGAGACUAGCGAACAAACCCGUGGGAAGGAGGCCGAGCCUACUGCACGGGGCAGGGGCAGAGGUAAGAAGGAUACAUCUCGUGAUGUUGUUGCCAACAUGGAGGCAAGGUUAGCCAAGGUGGAGCUAGCCAUGGCAGACACCCGGGAAGGGGUGGACUUGAUCGAGCAAGGCAUGGAGAAGGGCUUAGAGGAUCUAAGGGAGCAGACCCAAGACCUUCGCGAGGGGGUGCUGGUCUCGCAAGUUCAGCCGGUGUCACACGAGGAGUUCAUGUCUUUCCAAGACAAGGUCAUGAGCAUGUUCACUAGUGUGGAGUCAAGGAUGGAGGCCUUGACUGCACGAGUGGAGGCCCGAGACCAAGAGAUUCGACAAGAGUUGGCCAUCUAUAAGACCGUUGUAUCAGCACGAGUCAUGGCCACUCAUAAGGCACCAAGGGUGGAGGUGCCCAAGCCACACACGUUCAGUGGCAAGAGGGAUGCCAAGGAGCUAGAUAACUUCUUGUGGCACAUGGAGCGUUACUUUGAGGCAAUUGCAUUAACGGAUGAAGCCACUAAGGUACGUACCGCGACCCUUUACCUCACUGAUAAUGCUACUCUAUGGUGGCGUCGACGAUUUGCCGACAUAGAGAGAGGGACGUGCACCAUAGACACAUGGGAUACCUUUAAGAGAUAAAUCAAGAGGCAAUUCUAUCCCGAAGACGUGGCUUACCUAGCAAGGAAGAGUUUGAAGCGUCUCAAGCACACGGGCUCGAUCCGUGAGUAUGUCAAAGAAUUCUCUACUCUUAUGCUUGAGAUACCUAACAUGGCUGAGGAGGAGCUACUGUUCAACUUCAUGGACAACUUGCAAAGCUGGGCCGAGCAAGAGUUGAAGAGACGUGGUGUCCAAGACCUAGCCACGGCCAUGGCAGUAGCCGAGUCCUUAGUAGAUUAUAGAAGGGGAGACUCCUCCAAGCCCAAACCACCAUCCAAGGGUAACCAGGCCAAAGGUGGGGGAGACAAGAGGUCGCAAGGCCAUACCUCUAAGGAAAGAUCAAGCAAAGGCCCUAGUGGCAAGGAUGGCAAAGGCAAGGACAAGCGAAAGGAGUUCACGCCCAGGACCAAUUGCUUCCUGUGCGAUGGUCCGCACUAGGCACGAGACUGCCCUAAGAGGAAGGCCUUAAAUGUUAUGAUCGAGGAAAAUGAGCAAGAAGGCGAUGCUAAGAUGGGAUCGUUGUAGCUCUUAAAUGCCCUUAAGGCCAAGCCGAUGCCUAAGAUGCCUCAAAGCAAAGGGCUGAUGUAUGUGGAGGCCCUUGUGAAUGGGAAGGCCACCAAGGCCCUGGUGGACACAGGUGCCACUCACAACUUUGUCUCGGAGGAUGAGGCAAGAAGGUUGGAGCUCCAAGCAUCCAAGGAAGGAGGAUGGCUCAAGGCAGUCAAUUCAGCCGCCAAGCCAUCACAUGGAGUAGCUCGCGGGGUGACUAUGCACAUCGGCUCGUGGGAAGGAAGGGUCGACUUCACAGUGGCACCCAUGGAUGACUUCAAGAUGGUGCUAGGAAUGGACUUCCUACAGAAGGUCAAGGCCGUGCCACUACCUUUCCUACGCUCAAUGGCUAUCCUAGAGGAGGAGAAGUUGUUCAUGGUCCCUACGGUCAAUGAAGGUACGCUCAAGACCCCUAUGUUAUCCGUUAUGCAAGUAAAGAAGGGGUUAAAGAGGGAAGAGGUGACCUACCUCGCCACCCUAAAGGAAGAAAAGGAUGAUGGGUCGAGAGAACCCAUACCUAAAGAAAUCAAGGGGGUCCUUGAUGAGUUCAAGGACGUGAUGCCGCCCGAGUUGCCUAAGAGACUUCCUCCUAGGAGAGAGGAAGAUCACAAGAUUGAGCUGGAGCCGGGAGCCAAGCCCCCUGCUAUGAGGCCAUAUAGGAUGGCACCACCCGAGUUGGAGGAGCUAAGGAGACAACUCAAGGAGUUGCUAGAUGCGGGGUUCAUCCAACCAUCUAAGGCUCCUUAUGGCGCGCCGGUUCUAUUUCAGAAAAAGCGUGAUGGGUCCCUACGAAUGUGCAUAGAUUACCGGGCACUCAACAAGGUGACGGUGAAGAACAAGUAUCCCAUCCCGCUCAUUGCUGACUUGUUCAAUCAACUUGGAAGGGCAAGGUACUUCACGAAGCUGGACUUAAGGUCAGGCUACUACCAAGUCAGGAUUGCGGAGGGAGAUGAGCCGAAGACUACAUGUGUGACCAGGUAUGGCUCAUAUGAGUUCUUAGUAAUGCCUUUCGGACUCACCAAUACCCCAGCAACGUUUUGCACCCUCAUGAACAAGAUCUUCCACCCAUACUUGGACAAGUUCGUGGUGGUGUACUUGGAUGACAUAGUCAUCUAUAGUAACACUCUAAAGGAGCACGUAGAGCACUUGAGGAAGGUCUUUAAGAUCUUGAGGCAGAAUGAGCUAUACGUGAAGAAGGAGAAGUGUUCGUUUGCUAAGGAGGAAGUGAGCUUCCUUGGGCAUCGCAUCAGAGAUGGCAAGCUGAUGAUGGAUAAUAGCAAGGUGAAGGCCAUCCAAGAAUGGGAUCCACCAACCAAGGUACCUCAACUCAGAUCUUUCCUUGGUUUAGUUAAUUACUAUCGGCGGUUCAUAAAGGGUUAUUCGGCAAGGGCCGCUCCAGUCACUGAUCUUCUGAAGAAGAAUAAGACAUGGGAAUGGGAUGAAAGAUGCCAACAAGCCUUUGAGGACCUGAAGAAGGCUGUGACUGAGGAGCCAGUGUUGGCACUACCUGACCACACCAAGGUCUUUGAGGUACACAUAGAUGCCUCAGACUUCGCUAUUGGGGGAGUCCUUAUGCAAGAAAGGCACCCAAUCGCAUUUGAGAGUCGCAAGCUAAACGACACGGAGAAGCGUUACACGGUACAGGAAAAGGAGAUGACUGCCAUCGUCCAUUUCUUGCGCACCUGGAGGCACUAUCUGCUAGGGUCUCACUUCAUAGUGAAGACCGACAAUGUGGCCACUAGCUACUUCCAGACACAGAAGAAGUUGAGUCCUAAACAAGCUAGGUGGCAAGACUUCCUGGCCGAGUUCGACUAUACGCUGGAGUAUAAGCCGGGAAGUGCUAAUCAUGUGGCCGACGCCCUAAGCCGCAAAACCGAGCUAGCGUCUAUGACGAGUCAGCCCCAAGGAGACAUAAUAGAUCUUCUAAGGGAAGGACUGAAACAUGAUCCAGUGGCUAAGAGCCUCAUUGCCCUGGCUCAUGAAGGGAAGACCAAGCGGUUUUGGGUGGAGGACGACUUACUCUACACCAAAGGGAGACGACUCUACGUGCCUAAGUGGGGGAACAUAAGGCGGAACCUGAUUAAGGAGUGCCAUGACACCAAGUGGGCAGGGCACCCUGGGCAACGACGCACUAGGGCACUACUCGAGUCGGCUUACUAUUAGCUUCAAAUACAGGAUGAGGUUGAGGCCUAUGUGAGGACUUGUCUUGUGUGCCAACAAGACAAGGUGGAGCAACGACAGCCUAGAGGCCUGUUGGAGCCAUUACCCAUAGCAGAGCGCCCAUGGGACAGCGUCACCAUGGACUUCAUCAUCGGGCUACCCAAGUCAGAGGACAACGGGUCGAUCAUAGUGGUGGUAGACAGGUUCUCUAAGUAUGCAACCUUCAUAGCAGCCCCGAUUGACUGCACUGCGGAAGAGACGGCGAGGCUAUUCCUAAAGCACGUAGUCAAGUAUUGGGGGUUGCCGAAGUUCAUCAUCAGUGAUCGCGAUCCACGUUUCACUGGGAAGUUUUGGACGAAGCUCUUCAAGCUUAUGGGUUCGGAGCUUCACUUCUCCACAAGUUUUCACCCACAAACGGAUGGGCAGACCGAGAGGGUGAACGCUUUAUUGGAGCUGUACUUGAGGCACUUCGUGAGUGCCAACCAGAAGGAUUGGGCUAAGUUGCUAGACAUAGCCCAGUUCUCAUACAAUCUGCAAAGGAGUGAGGCGACCAAUAAGAGUCCGUUCGAGCUAGCUACAGGACAGCAACCGUUAACUCCUCACACUCUAACGAUUGGCUAUACGGGGAGAAGUCCAGCGGCUUUCAAGUUCGCGAAAGGGUGGCACGAGCAAGCUGAUAUAGCACGCUCAUACUUGGACAAGGCCGCUAAGAAAAUGAAGAAGUGGGCUGACAAGAAGCGACGACACACAGAGUACAAGGUCAGAGACAUGGUGCUUGUCAAGCUCCUUCCUCAACAAUUCAAGUCCCUAAGGUCGGUGCAUAAGGGCCUUGUGAGGAGGUAUGAAGGACCCUUCCCCAUACUGGGGAAGGUCGGCAAGGUGUCCUAUAGAGUCGAGCUGCCCUCGAGGUUGAAGAUUCAUCCUGUCUUCCACGCAAGCUACUUGAAGCCUUAUCACGAAGACAAGGAUGAUCCAAGCCGAGGGCUUUCUAAGAGGGCAACUACAGCGGUUGUGACCUCCUAUGACAAGGAGGUGGAACACAUCAUUGCAGACCGAAUCAUCAGAAGGCGUGGUGUGUCUCCUGCUACGGAGUACUUAGUGAAAUGGAAGGGACUACCAGAAAGCGAGGCUAGUUGGGAGCCAGCAAAUGCACUAUGGCAGUUCCAGGAACAGAUUGAGCGGUUCCGGGCAGAAAACACGACGAGGACGUCUGCGGCUUAGGUGGGGGAGAGUGUCACAAGAUGCUUCAAAUGACCCUCCCCAUGGCUUAUAUAGGAGGUGAGAAGCUUCUAGAGACCCUUGGAGACAACCACACUUAGCCACUAGUGGGAAGAGUGUGGAAGGUUCUAGAAAUGCCUAGAGAAGUCCACACAACUCUACACUAUGGUAGAAGGCAUGAGAAGGGUCCAAAGCUUUCUAAAGAAAUCUAGAAGUCUCUUGAAUAUUCUAGAAUAGUGUAGGACAUUCUAGAAGUCUCUUGAAUAUUCUAGAAUAGUGUAGGACAUUCUAGAAUAUUCAUGAAUUGUAAGGAACCCUCCAAGGUUCUAGAGAGUUCCAUUGGUGCCUAUAAAUAGGUGAGGGCCUCAUUUGGCCAAGGCACCAAGCAAGUGAGCAUCCAAGCACUUGUAAAGGCUUUCUUGAGAUAAUAAAGCUUCCAUUCUUUAAGGAGUUGCCUACUAAGCUCUUAAGCUUUCGAGUUGCGAGUGUCUUAGCCGAGCAAGCUAAGCAUUGGGGAUCAAGGCUGACUUAGCAAGAUCAAGCGUCUUGACUUGCCUAAGUGCCGCACGAGCUUAGUGAACGACUAAGUCCGUGACACACUUCUCUGGCACUACAUCAAUUUGGAAUCGCACAAGUUCAUGGUCCUAGGUUAUGGGUUAUCAUUGGUUUUUCUUGUUUUCUUUUUGUACAUCUUUCUCCGUAGCCACUUCUCUGGAACUACAUCAAUUUGGAAUCGCCCAAAUUCAUGGUCCUGUGUAGCAUAAGAUAUUCACCUCCCAUAAAAUAAUAGAAAUUCACAGCAUGCAGAUACUAAGAUUUUUUUUUUCUCCCCAAAAAGAAAUACGUACAAAAGUAAAAAAGACAGAAGUCUGUAAAAAGCAGAUGAACAAACUUGAAUUUUAUUUUUAGGACUCAAGUCAAGGGUGACUAGAUGAAUUGGUGGAUGUAGAUUCUGAUUUCCUUUCAUUUGUUUUAUUUAUAGCAGUUUCAUUUCCUUGUUCAGUCAGUAAUUUUCUUUUUCCCCUCACUCCCCCUCCCCCCACCUUCUUCAAAUUGGGUGUAUAAUUGAAAUGGAAGUUGGCUUAUAUUUACUGGUAAUGCUUGUGAUAUCCUUUUUCUCACCUUUUUCUUAGAAAUGAAGAAUGAGGAAAUAUGGGUGCUACAUGUUUCACUUGUUGAGAACUGCCAUUGUUACAUAGAUUUCCUAUUGAUUUACAUGUAAUCCUUGUAUGAUUUUUGUUCCAAGGAAAUUAGUUGGUAAAAAGCUUCGGUCAAAAUUUAAUUGUGUGACAUUGUAGGAAUCUUUGUCCUAGAUCUUGAAUGCCUUCUUUUUGUAUGAUAUUAGAUAUCAUGCAUCCACAAGUUCUUCUCACUUGUUCAAUUUUUUAUGAUGCGCGGUUUUUAACAUAUGGUGUUCUUAGAUAUCUGGAUCCUAAUAAGCUUUACUUGUGUGAGCUUAUCCUUGUAAAGUUGAAAAGUUAUCCUACUGAUGCAGUGUUGUUGGAUAUUCUAAUAGCUUUACUUGUAUGAGCUCAUCCCUGCAAACUUGGAGGUUAUCUUGUUCAGGGACAUAGUCCUUGCUCUUCUUCUUCUAGAACAAUUUAUUCCGUUCUUUUCAUUUAUUUAUUUAUUUUGGUGUGUGUGGAUAGCCUUACUAUUAUAGCACGUGUGUUAUUUUUCCAUGGGCUAUAUUACAAUUUAUCUCUCGUAGUUUCUUCCCUUAUUUUUAGGAAGCAUACUUAUGUACGUCUGAAUUCUUAUUUGGAAGCGUCUGGGUACUUUGACUGUUUAAGUCUUAAGAAGUUGAUAUCAAAGUGUAGCUAUAUAUUGUUACUUAGAGGAUCUGCAGAUUUAAGUAGGUUUAGAUCUGAUAAAACUAUAUAUCAGCACUCAUGUCCCCAUUGUUUGCAAUAUGGAGCUAUGCUGAACUGUGAAAUGAGUAGCUACUGUUACCAACUUGAGGCUUGGGUCAAAGGAUGAAAAAGAGGUUGAUAGGAUAUUUUGAACUGUGAAUUUAAUUAACUCGUGUUCAUCAUUUGAUAUCAUGAUUCUGAAUUGUUGAUCGGAUGGACCAAAUGCAUUUGGUGUGGCACUUGUUUUAAUUGGACCUGGUAACAUUGAUCAGGUCCUGGUUUUUUUUUUCUUCUUCUUUUUUUUUUUUUUUCCAGCAAUGUUUGCUUUUUGAAACACCAAUUUUCUCAUCAUGAUUGUAGGAAGUACAGAGAUGCCAGAUGCAAUGGAGAUGAUAUUUCAAUCUGCCCUUGCUUUGGGUAGAAACGGGGCCGCGAGUUAUUUGUUUUCCCUGAAAUUUCUUGCACUUACAUCUUAUCGUGCUUUUCCAUGUCUAAUUUUUAGUACCACACUCAAUUGAACUAAUUGGCAGUAAGUUUCUUGCUUUUGCUUUGCAUUACUUUUUAGAAUGCAAAAUAAAAGGAAAAAAAAAAAAAAAAAAAGAAAAAGAAAAGUGGACUCUUCUAGAAUUACCAGAAAACAAAAAAUAAGCAUGGGUUGUUGUUUGUUUGUGGAGUUAUUUUAGUUUUUGACGUCAUGCUCCUCAAGCAACAUCUUAUAAGACUAUUUUUAGGAUUAGGUCCAACAUGAACUAGUGCAAGUGUGAAGAUUGCAUUUUGUCAUGUCUCAGACUCUGCAGUAGAGGGAAUCUAUCAUUAAUCAUACUCCAUUUGACUUGACAUGUGAUAUGCUGGAAACCUGAAACAUGGCCUUGGUUUGGCUCGUGUCAUUUUUCACUACUCGAGAUUUCUUGCCCACAUGCUAAAGACUUUUAUAAGUAUAGUCUAUAUAACUAACUGCCCUUGGCAAAAACUCAGCGUGUCUACAACUAAAAAUGUACGCUAGCAAUAGCAUUAUAUGGAUAUGGCUUUGUGGUUCAACACGAAUACAAAGACUUUCCUUGAGAAUACCUGAAUAAGACGAAUAACAACAAAUGUCACAUGAAAGCAAAUUGGUCGUGCCAAUUAAGAAUUUCUGUUUCAUACAUGUCAGCAAGUUGAUGAGCUAAUGGGUGAUGUGGAAAGCGCAGUGUCCUUGUAUUCAAAGGCGGUGCACUUGUUAGUGUCCCUUCUUGUGGAAGCACCAUCCCUCAUUCUCAACCCUCCCUUCUAUCUUACAAACUCAGACCACUAUAGGCUUCGAACUUACAUUGAUAUCCUAAAUAUGCAAGAGUCCACUCAAGGUCUCAAAGGAUGAAUCUUCUUAAGUGCGAGGAUCAACAAUGUCCCCCUUAAAAACUAGUGUAACUUUUAAAUAUCCAAUGUGCCAUGGCUUCCAUAUAUAAUCAUUUAUUUGUACAGAUGUUCUUUGAGUGACUGUGAUCCCUUAUUUGGGACUCAAAUCAUGAUUCUAUAAUUUAAAGACUGAUGAAAUGUGCAUUUUUUUCCCAUCUCUGUCCAUUUGGAUGUGCAUUUUCUGACCAGGUGUUUAUUCAGGGGUCAUUGCCUAGAAUACCAAUCUGGACGGUUCUGUUAGAUCAAUUCUGCUGCAAGAUAUCCUUUCCACAUUCACAACAUAGUUAUCCAGUACUCAUGUAACUCAAAAACUUUUUAUUUGAGUUUCAUGCCAUUUGUUCUCUCUCAGCAAAUGAAAUAACUCUACUGCUUCUUAUGAAGCGUUUAGAAUGGGUUAAAAUCCUAUAUCUGGCUGUAGGGAACAAUCUGCUCAGUGAAUGAAUUGCAUCAUCUUUACAUUUUAUUUCUUCCACUUUUGCUGCUGAAAUUAUGGGUGGUCUCAUCUGAAGUUGGGACAUGUUUCGGGGCCAUUGCAUUCGAAUGAAUGGACUAGUGACUUCAAAUGCAAAUUUUGGAGCCACUAAAAACUCCUAACGGAUGGGCUUGUGAUUUCAAAUGCCAUCGAAGAUGUAUUUUUUAUUUUCUAUUUUCGGGCCUGGAGAUACAAUGCUGUUUAUGGGACACCAGAUCUACUUGAAGGUCCUGCUUGAUUUAUGGGAAGAAAAUGUGCGGAAUAUUAUUUUCCUUAUAACUGGUGAGGUAGAUGAGUGUAGCUUGUGUCUAAGCAGCUUCCAUUGAAUAUUUGAGGAAAAUUCUCCUAUGAAUAAUUAGCAUCUUAUUCAAAACUUACGAGGAGGGUUCCAAUCAGUAAAGAGUCCUGCAAAGGCUUGAUUAUCUUAGCAUGAGUCAUCAUCCCAUGACCAAGAGUGAAUACAGAAAUGUUAGGCAUGCCGCAUACGAAGGCGCCAAUCAUUUUAUCAGGCUAUCACAAUAUGCAUUAUGUAUUCCAAUUAUAUUCAAAAUUUCACCACCCGUAAAUAGGGCCGCAUAUUUCAAAAUACCUACCGUAUCUUCCAAUGUUUUAAAGAGUGUCACAAGUUUCUCUAAAUCUUCCUCAUUCUUAGUUGGCAAAUGUGGACACCUUCCUUCAGGAAGAAUACAAUAUCAAUGGAUCUCCUUUAACUACUUGAUGAAAAUCAUUUCCUGCCAUUUCACAAUUGGGUCUUAUGGGAUGAGGUUACUAGAAUGAAUGGAACUUGGUGGGUCAGAGUCCACAUUGAUGAGCGGUGAAACAGUGCCCAGUAAAAAAGGCAAAUAACACAAGAUUGAGAAGACGAAAGCACAUCUUUUUUCAUUAUAACUUCAAAGGGAAGAUUCAUGGUGGUGAUCAAAAUGAAAUCUCCAAAUAAAGAUAGUUAUACUCUAACUCUGCUGGUUUGGAAAUCCAAGAUCUACCUUGUCGAGAAUGAUCAAAUUUUAGGGGUGUUAUCAAUAUUGUCCCCAAGGCUAAUGACCAAUUCAAGGCAUUGAAAUAUAAUUUAAAAUUGCAACAAGUAGGAGUGGAUAUUAAAAAGAAGGGAGUCUUAUGUCACAAAACGCUUCAAAUGACCCUCCCUAUGGGCUUAUAUAGGAAAUAGGAAGCUUCUAGAGACCCAAGAGACAUCUACACUUAGCUACAAAGUGGAAGAGUAUGGAAGUUUUUAAAGAGGGUUAGAGAUGUCUACACAUUUCUACACUUGACUAGGAGAGCAUUGGAAUAGUGUGGGGUGUUCUAAAUUCUUCCAAAGGCAUCUUGUACAUAACCUUAUACAUAGACUAGUGUAGGAGCUUCUAGAUUAUUCUUGAUUUGUAAGGAACCCUCCAAGGUUCUAGAUACUUCCUAAGGUGUCUAUAAAUAGGUUAAGGUCUCAUUUGGCCAAGACACCACCUAAAUCACUUUCUAACCAAGCAAGUGAGCUUUCAAAGCACUUGUAAAACAUCAUUUGAGAGCAAUAAAAGCUUCCAUUCUUUAAGAGUUGCAUAUUUCGCCUUCUAAAGCUUCCAAUUCAUGAGUAUCUUAGCGUAGUAAGUUAAGUAUUAGGAGUAAGGUUGACAUAGCAAGAUCACAAGUCUUGGCUUGUCUAAGUGUCGCAUGAGCUUAGGAAAAUAUUAAGUCUGUGAUAGUUGAUAUUAGAGUAUGGUUGCAAAGCAGGCAUUGUGAAGAAAGCAUGUUAGGGUCCAAUGUUGAUGACACUAGUGAGUAAACUCGUGGAAGGAAGACCGAGCCUAUUGUAAGGGGUAGGGGUAGGAAGGAUAAGUCUCAUGAUGUCGUUGCCAACAUAGAGGCAAGGGCUAGCCAAAAUGGAGCUAGCCAUGACGGACUCUCGGGAGGGGUUGGACUUGAUUGAGCAAGGCAUGGAGAAAGGUAUAGAAGAUCUUAGGGAAUAGAUCCAAGACCUUCAUGAGGGGAUGCUAGUCUCAUAGGUUCAGCUAGUGUCGCACGAGGAGUUUGUGUCCUUCGAAAAGAAGGUCAUGAGCGUGCUUACUAGCAUGGAGUCAAAGAUGGAGGCUUUGGCUACCAUGGAGUCCCGAGACUAAGGGGUUAGGCAAUAGUUGGCUAUCUAUAAGGUCGUUGUGUCAGCGCUGGUCAUGGCCAUAUGGGAGGCAUCUAGGAUAGAGGUACUGAAGCCAUAAGGGUUUGGUGGCAAGUAGGAUGCCAAAGAGUUAGACAACUUCUUAUGGCAUAUGGAGCAAUACUUCGAGACUAUCGCACUAACUAAUGACGGCUAAGGUAAGGACUACGAUCCUCUACCUUACUAAUAUAGCUACUCUAUGGUGGCGCCAAAGGUUCAUCGAUAUGGAGAAAGACAUUUGCAUCAUAGAAACAUGAGAGAACUUUAAGAGGGAGAUCAAAAAGUAGUUCUACCCCGAGGACGUGGCCUACCUAGCUAGGAAAAACAUGAGACGUCUCAAGCACACAAACUCGAUUUGUCAUUAUGUCAAGGAGUUCUCUUCGCUCAUGCUUGAGAUUCCUAAUAUGAUUGAGGAGUUGCUAUUCAACUUCAUGGAUAACCUACAAAGGGGGGCCGAGCAGGAAUUAAGGCAUUGAGGUGUUCAAGACUUAAUCACUGUUAUGGCAGUAGUAGAGUUUUUAGCGGAUUACAAGAGGAAAGACUCCUCUAAGGUUGAGUCUUUGGAGGAUAGCCACGCCACUGGUGGAGGAGAUGAGGUUUCAAGAGACCACAAUGCUCUUAGAAUGGGAUCAGGCAAGACGCUUAACGUUAGGGAAGGAAGAGGUAAGACGAAAAAUAAGAACUUUACGCUUAAAAUCAAGUGUUUCUUGUAUGACAGUCCACAUUGGGCAAAAGAUUAUCCAAAGAGGAAGACACUUAGUGUCAUGAUCGAGGAGAAUGAAUAAGAAAAUGAGGCACAUAUGGGUUUAAUGCAACUACUAGGUACCCUCCAAGUCAACCCAAAGCGUAGUACGCCUAAGACUUUCUUACUAUCAAGGGUGCAAGUAAAGAAGGCAAAAUGGGAGCAAGCUAAAAGUAGCCCGUACACACAUGGACAAGGUCACGAAGGGAGAGGUGAACUCAAUAGGAAAAAGAAAACAAUACUCUAAGCAUCGAAAGUGUAGGUGUCUGCAUCCAUCCAAGGCCUCACAGGAAAUGAGGUGAAGAAUAUCCUAACUAAGCGAGUCACCAGGAGACAAGGGGUCCUUCUCGUGAUAGAGUAUCUAGUCCAAUGAAAAUGAUUACCUAAGAGGCAAGCAAGUUGGGAACAUGCGGAUGCCUUGAGAAAGUUUUGGAAACACAUCAAGAGAUUUCAAGAAGAGGCAACGACAGGGACAUCAACGGUAUGGGUGAGGGAAGGCAUCAUAAGAUGCUUCAAAUACCCCUCCCCAUGGGCUUAUAUAGGAGAUAGGAAGCUUCUAGAGACUCUUGGAGACAUCGACACGUAACUACAAAGUGGAAGAGUAUGAAAACUUUUAGAGAGAGUUAGAGAUGUCCACGCAUCUCUACACUUGGCUAGGAGAGCAUUGGAAUAGUGUGGGGUGUUCUAGAGUUUUCCAAAGGCAUCUUGUACAUAGUCUUAUACAUAGACUAGUGUAGGAGCUUCUAGAUUAUUCUUGAUUUGUAAGGAACCCUCCAAGGUUCUAAAGACUUCCUAAGAUGCCUAUAAAUAGGUUAAGGCCUCAUUUGGCCAAGGCACCACCCAAAUCACUUCCUAAUCAAACAAGUGAGCUUCCAAAGUAUUUGUAAAACAUCCUUUGAGAGCAAUAAAAGUUUCAAUUCUUCAAGAGUUGCUUACUACGCCUUCUAAAGCUUUCAAGUCGUGAGUAUUUUAGCCUAGUAAGUUAAGCAUCAGGAGUAAGGUUGGCUUAGCAAGAUCACGGGUCUUGACUUGUCUAAGUAUCACACGAGCUUAGGAAAAUACUAAGUUCGUGACACUUAACUUCAUUGUUGACAAGUCUUUAGUGUAUUUUCGUCUAUAGCUUACAUCAAACAAGAAUAGGUCAUGAAUUCAUUUGUAGCUUUCGUCAUAUAACAAGAGUUGUUGACAUAUAAUCAGUGGGUAUACCAAUGACCAGUAUCAUUGCUAAUGAGUCUUUCACGGGUCAUCGUAUAUGGCUAGCUUACAUAAGAUAAAGAACCAUCAUGAUUCAUGUGUAGCUUAUACGAGAUUGGGAGAGGUCUUCACUUAAGAGAACUUGUUGUUCAAGGCAUUAUUUCUAGGGUGACGGUCAAGUUUUCUCAACAUUCAGACUUUCCCGGAAGGUAACGUACAUGCACGGUGUGCCCAAAUUCGACAAAGGGCACCUUCAGAUGUGACCUUUUCUACAGUUAAAUUGGAUAAAUAUCUAUCGUCUCCCUAAGGUUUCUCAAAAAUUUAUCUUCCUUAAAAAAUCUUGGGGCAUCUUUAUUCUUUGGUUUACAGUUUGUUUGAAAAGCUGAUCAGGGUAGUGGAUAAACUUAAUUGGUGCCAUGUCUUCCCUCCUUUCGUAUGUGAACUAAUGGAUAUAAAACUAACAUUUUCUUAACCAAAGAUACAUUGUGAAGCUACAAAACUCGAACGACCAGGAGAAUGGUCUCUCUCAAAAGUCAAAACCUAAGGGUGCAAAGAAUUCUCCCCACCUUCGGGGCAAGGACAUUCAACAUCCACUCAAAUGAAGACCUAAUGCUGAAGAAAGGAAGUCAAGUCUCUUUGGCACCAUGCACGAUAAAGCCGAAAAAUGGCAGAAAAGUUGUGGUUCCUGCUGCCCUGUUGCAAAAGGCUACUCCUUCGUGCUCCUUCCCGUGAAGAGUGGCUAUAAAAAGAAACAUAAGCAACAAAAUGGGAGCUCCUCCUCAACGAAAUCACUCUCUCCAUCUACAAGAAAACGGUAAAAAAUUCAUCUUUGUAUCCAGAAAAUGAUGAAAUAAAAUCCUCCAUUUUUCCUGAAGAAUUUUAUCUACUUCACAUAGCUAGACAAAACUAGGAAAGACAUGGGAAACCUUAGUCCUACAUCUCAAAAGUUUCCUUCCAUUCUUCUUAUCCUUCUCAUAUUUCUCAUCUCCUUCUUCCCUUUUGCAACUUCCAACACCCAGAACAUUUUGCUAAGAGGCUCCUUUCUAUCGGUCGAAGAUGAUUCAGACUACAUCACCUCCCCAGACAAAUCAUUCAAUUGUGGUUUCUAUCGGAUGGGGGAAAAUGCUUACUGGUUUUCAAUAUGGUUCACAAAUUCGAAGGAACGAACUGUUGUUUGGAUGGCCAAUCGAAACAGACCUGUCAAUGGCCGGGGCUCCAGAAUUUCGCUGCAGCAAGAUGGUGCCAUGAUUCUAAGGGAAUGCUGAUGGCUCCCUGUUUGGGAGACGAACACUACCUCCACCGAUGUUGAUCGAGCAGAGCUUUUGGACACUGGAAACCUUGUUCUGAAGGACCCACGCGGUAAAAUUCUAUGGCAAAGCUUUCAUUUUCCAACGGAUACUUAAUUUUCUGCCAAACCAACUCCUCACUACAAGCACAAAGCUGAUCUCUAUAGUCAGCAGAGGGGAUUUUUCCUCUGGUCACUUUCACUUCUUUUUUUUAUAAUGACAAUGUCUUGAGAAUGAUGUACGAUGGGCCUGAAGUUUCAAGCUUGUAUUGGCCUAAUCCUGAUGGGAAUGUUUUCCGAAAUGGAAGAACAAACUAUACCAGUAGCAGAAUUUAUGUUUUAGAUGAAAUGGGGAGGUUUCUUUCGAGUGAUAGAAUGUCUUUCAAAGCUUCUGACAUGGGUUUUGGAGUCAAAAGGAAGCUGACAAUGGACUACGAUGGAAACCUGAGACUCUAUAGCUUAAACCAUUCUACGGGAUUAUGGAAUAUAUCAUGGGAAGCUCUUAGCGAACAGUAUAAAGUGCACGGGCUAUGUGGUAAACUCGGGAUUUGUAUUUAUACGCCAGAACCCAAGUGUUCACGUCCUCCGGGCUAUGAAGUAAGUGACCCAAGUGACUGGAGCAAAGGUUGCAAGUCUAAGUUCAACCAAAGCUGUUCCCAACCACAGUAGGUAAAAUUUGUGGAGCUUCCCCAGACCGAUUACUAUGGGUUUGAUCUGAAUUAUAGCCAAUCUGUUUCACUAGAAGCUUGCAGGAAAAUCUGCUUGGAGGAUUGCCUUUGCCAAGCAUUCGCCUACAGGCUAACAGGAGAAGGGAUCUGUUACCCAAAAAGUACCCUUUUCGAUGGCUACAAGUCCUCGAACUUCCUAGGGAGUAUAUAUUUAAAACUGCCUGUAGAUGUCUAAACGUCAGCACCCACUAUUCUGAAUGGCUCUGAUAACAUAUGCAAGUCUAAGGAAGUUGAGGUCGUGCUGAGAUCUUCUUCUAUGUAUGACACUGCCAAUAAAGGGAUGAGAUGGGUUUAUCUCUAAUCAUUUGUUUCCAUCAUUGGUGCAAUGGAAGUUCUCUUUAUUGUGUCGGGUUGGUGGUUUCUUUUCAGGGCACAUAAUGUGCCAUCUUCGGUUGAAGAUGGGUAUGCUCCGAUUUCAAGCUAGUUCAAGAGAUUUCGCUACACCGAACUUAAGAAAGCAACCGACAAUUUCAAAGUAGAGCUUGUAAGAAGAGGCUUUGGGGCUGUUUAUAAGGGUGUUUUGGAGGAUGAAAGGGUAGUAGCUGUGAAGAAAUUGGGAGAUGUCAUUCAAGGGGAAGAGGAGUUUUGGGCUGAAAUAAGCACUAUCCGAAAAAUGAGUUUUGACCCAAGAUAUUUAAAAAAAAAAAAUUCAUAAAAUAAACUUUGUUUCCGAAAUAAUACCUAAUUUAGUGUGUUUAUGACAUGUGUUUUAAUAAAACUAAACAAAAAUAUUUUUAUAUCAAAUUAAAAAUAUUAAUGAUUUAAUUUCAUAUAUUAUUAUGUUUUAAAUUAAUGAGAUAAGUUUAUUAACCAUUCACAUAUUUUGAAUAAAUAUAAAAUCAAAAUAAUAUAAUAUUUUUAUUUAAAAAGAUUAAAGUUAAAGUUGUAGUUAGUGACUAUGACUUUAAUAAUUUAAAAAAAAAAAUUAAAAUGAUAGUUAUCAAUUACGAUAUUAUGAUGUGAAGGCAUACGUACGCUAGAUUUAGUAUUAUUUUGGAAACAAGUUUAAUUUAUGGAUUUUUUAUUAUUAUUAAUAUCCUAUUUUGGGCCAAAACUGUCGAAAAAAUUAUCAUAAGAACCUAGUUAGAAUGUGGGGAUUCUGUUCAGAGGGUAGACACAGACUUGUAGUCUAUCAGCAUGUAGAAAAUCUGUCACUGGAUAAGCAUCUCUUCAGCACGACUUUUCUGGGAUGGAAAUAGAGGUUUAACGUUGCAGUGGGGACAACACGGGGUUUAGCCUACCUUCACCAUGAGUGUCUAGAAUGGGUUAUCCAUUGUGACGUGAGGCCUGAAAAUAUACUACUAGACAAUGGGUUUGAACCAAAAAUUGAAGAUUUUGGGCUAGUAAAGCUGUCCCGAAGAGGUGGCCUUGGUUCAGGAGAAUUCUCUCGGGUUCCGGGGACUAAAGGGUACAUGGCUCCAGAGUGGGCUAUGAAUCUUCCAAUUACGGCAAAAGUUGAUGCUUAUAGCUAUGGAGUUGCGGUUCUAGAGAUGGUGAGGGGAAUUUGGCUUUCAAAUUGGGUGGGUGGGGAUGGUGAGGAGCAGGAAGCUGAGCUGACGAGGUUUGUUAGGCUAGUGAAACGGAAAAUUCAAUGUGGAGAAGACAAUUGGAUAGAGGAUACAUUGGACCCAAGAUUGAAGGGGAAGUUUAGCAGGCAGCAGCAGUCGAAAUAGGUAUUUCUUGUGUGGAGGAAGAGAGAAGUAAAAGACCAACAAUGGCCACCGUAGUCCAAGUUCUACUGGAAUGUGAAGAUGAAGCCCAAGUGGACUUGGAGUAAAUGUCUUUUUUUUUUUAUCUAUAGGCAUCUAUCGGCCUGUAUCUCUUGAACAAAUUACAUAGCUGUCAUCGGUUUUGGCUUUAUAGAGGGUAUUUGUCUAUUUAAUCCUACAAGGUGAGAUACAUAAAAAGUAUUUGUAAUAUCUCAUAUCAUAAUCAGAUAGGAAAGAAAGUUUUUUAUAUAUAUUAUAAAAAUAUAGAUUUUUUUUUAAUUAUGUAGAUGCAUUUUAAAAUCAUGGAACCCUUUUGAAAUAGGCUUGAAGUAUCAUAUAAAAAUAAUUUAUUGGCUUUAAACCUAUUUUUUAUUUUUUAUUUUUUCUUUUUUCACUUUUUAUUUCUUAUAUUUUUCUCCUCUAUUUUCUUUCUCUCACAUUGUAUCUUACAUUUUCAGGAAAAAAAAAAAAGGUAUAGCCAAAAUAUUCCAAAUGAAAAUACAAAAUCAUGAACUGCAUUACUCUAGUAUGAAUAGUUAUAUCUUUAUCUAUCUUUAAGAAAUUUCAAUAAUACAAACAUAAUAUACAACAUGCUCUUUAACAUCAAUCAUUUUUGCUUUUCUUAAAAUCAAUUUUAAGGCUUAGUAUAAGGUGAGAAAUUAUUAUAUAACUUACCUAGACUUGGAUUGUGCUCGUUUUGCCAUAACUUUACCUUUGUUUCACUUUUGUUAUGUUGGAUCUCAAAAAAUAUUAAAGAAAAUAUUAAGAAAAAUGGUUUUUUUUAUAUUUAAUUAUGUAUUUUUAAAAUUAUUUAAUAUUUACAUAUAAUAAUAAUAAUAAUAAUAAUAACUAAAUAGAAAAAUAAGACAAAGGAUAAAAUAUACAAUUUCUAACACAAGUUGAUGGUGUUUGUUUUUUUACUUUUUGCUGAAAGCAAUUUAGUUUUAGAAUUUAGGUUGUUUGUUUUUCUACUUUUUCAUGAUUUAUUAUAAACAUUUUAAUGACUUAUUAUAAACUUUUUACUAAAUAGAAAAAGCCAAAAUAUAUAGUUUUUUCUAAAUAAAAAAAACUAACAUAUUGAUUUUUUUUACUUUUUAAUAUUUAAUAGAAAUAAAAUACUACAAAAACAAACAACCUAAUAUUUAACACUAUUAAGUAUUAAGGUUCUAUUUAGAAUUAAGUAAAAAAACAAACACCACCUAAAUAUGUUUUAUUGAUACAAAUGCACAACCAAUUAUCUAUCUACAUAUAUAUAUAUAUAUAUAUAUAUAAAUUAAUUUUAAUUAUUUUAUAAGGUAUUUUAUAUAAUAAUUAAAUAAAAAACAAAGGUAAAUUUAUAAGUAAAAUUAUCAAUAUUUUAAAAUAAAAAAUACUUACGUAUCAUAUUUUUUUAUAUUGUUCAAUAUAUAUUAAUUUCUUUGUUAAAACAAUUUUAAUAUAAAUAAUAUCAUUUUUUUAUUUUUUUAAAUAUUUUAUAUCAAUUUUCUCUUAUUAAUAUUUUUUUUAAUCAAAAUAUCCACUCAUAUAUCAAUUGUAUUUGUACCUAGCAAAAAAUAUAACAGAAAUAUUUUGUCCAAAAUAUUGGACAAAUGACUCAGUCGUCGAAAGAAUGUUGUCUUGUAGUUGAAGUUAAGGAUAAGAAAUAUUGGACCUUGGACAAAAAUAUAACGGUUUCCAGUUGUAGCCAGCAAAAAUAAAUAAAUAAAUAAAUAAAGACUUGUUUAAUAAAGGGUCUUCGUCCAACGUAAUUAGAUCAGACUUGAGUAGAUCAGUCUAAGUCAUCCUCCAAUGAUCAAGUCAAAAAAUGUUAGGCAUACUAAUAGCUGGUCUGGUAGGCGCGGGUCGCAAUAUGCCUUUUCUUGUCUUAUCAUAUUCAAAAUUUCACGUGUAGUUUCCCACUUGCAUUUAAAAUUUCACACCUAACCAAAUCUUUGUGUUUUUAAGAGAUCCAACCAACCUAGUUUCUCUAAUAAAGAUAAGAGAGCACCCUUGGUUUGUUAAUUGGAACCUCUUUGAGUGGGGUUUGGUCAGAUGAGACUAGAAUAAUACCAAAUGGAAGCUUUGUAGAGUCGACGGUCAAUGGUGAAGUGAUGGUGCCCAAUCAAAAGGCAAAUAAAUGUUAUAACAAGAGGUCAUGACUCAUCACUUAUAAACUGGUAUAUCAAUGAGAGAAUAACCCUAGCAAGUUUUCCACGGGUCAUCCGUCGUCUGUAGCUUAAAAUAAGGUAAUAAGAUAAAAGAGCCGUCAUGUCUACUAUAUAAUAUAUAUAUAUAUUGGGUAAGGCCGAAGGGGACGUCGGUGUAAGGCAUAUUUCUGCAACUUGCUUCUUUAAAAAUUAUCCAUGCGAGUGUGUCCAAAUUUGGCAAGUGGGAUGGUGACUACGUGGAGUCACAACGGUCAUUAUAUUCCAACAAUUAUUUAUUCUCAAGCUCCCACUUGUUCUUGUUCUUCUCUUUUUUUUUUCUUUUUUUUUUUAAAUCUUAAUUAUAUUUAAAAUAAAUGUAAUUUAUAUGUAAAUAAAUAUUAUAACUUUUUAUGAUUUAUUUUUAUAAGAUAUAUUUUCAUUUUAUAUUUGUUAAAAAAUAAAAAAUAUUUUUAUUUAAUUAUAUAUAUAAAUUGGAUGAGACAAUACAAUAUCUCAAGUACCCCAUCAAAAUUUAAAAAUUCAAAUCUAUCACUAAUUUUUUUUCAUCUAAUGUCAUAUAAAGUACGAGAAUCCGCGAAAACGUGCUUCAGGUCCAUUCCUAAUUGAGACAUCUUUUUUGACGGUCUGUUCACCUCAAAGCUCAAUGCCUGACAACCAAAUGACCAACCAAGCACGUCUUCUCGAAGAAAGGACCAAGCAUUUUCUGAGAACAGCUCAAGACGGUGGAUACUGGACAGUGGGUCGUUUAUUAGUACCAUGUCUUCUCUCCUUUCGCACCUGAACUAGUGGAUAUGAAACCAACAUUUUCUUAACCAACCAAAGAUAUAUCUCUGAACCAAACUUCGAAAAUGGGAAACCUUAGUCAUGCAUCUCCAAAGUUUCCUUGCAUUCUUCUCACCCUUCUCAUCUCUUACCUCUUCUCUUUUGCAACUUGCAAAACCCACAACUUUUUGCAAAGAGGCUCCUCUCUAUCUGUGGAAGAUGAUUCAGACUACAUCACCUCCCCAGACAGAUCAUUCACUUGUGGUUUCUAUGGGGCGGGGGAAAAUGCUUACUGGUUUUCAAUAUGGUUCACAAAUUCUAAGGAAAGAACUGUGGUUUGGAUGGCCAAUCGUGACAGACCUGUCAAUGGCCGGGGCUCCAGGAUUUCACUGCGGCGAGAUGGCAUCAUGAACCUAAGGGAUGCUGAUGGCUCAACUGUUUGGGAG